CUAGAUGCAGGUAACUUUACUUAACCUGACAAGUAAAAAUGGAUUUUAAGGAUCUACUCAUAGUAAGCUUUUCUGCAAAUAGAGUCCUUGAUUCUUGAUAAGCCUUCCCUUGAAUCCUUUUAAAACCAGCAUACCCUUGAGAGUAUUUUCUUUAGUCGGGUAAGUCUUGCUGAGUAAUUGCAUACUCAGGGUUUUAUUCCCUGUUGUUUUUCAGGUUAUAACUUUGUGCUGGUGUUGAUGGUGUUAAGUGCCGGUGGGCUCAGCCUUCUUAUAAGUCUAAGAAACUUUUCUAUACUUCUUAUUGAGGAUGGUCACUUGAGCUAGCAUAUAUUUCAAACUUAUAAUUAAUUUAUAACAUUUCAAAGUUUAUUUCUUUGAAUCACUAUUGUAAUCACUCCAAUAAACAUAAAAUAAAUUUGAUGUAACUGGUAGAAUUUGGUAAUAAGAUUUUCGCUGCAAAAAUGUUGGUGUGUGAUUUGUGUUUACUUAAUCCUGCGGUCCUGGUUGUAAUUGGUUUAUCCGGGGUCCUUGGGACACUCGGACAGAUCCUGUUAAGUUAUUUGGUGCACAUGCAUAGUCGUCUGAGGUCUUUAAGACAAGGACAGGUGCAUGUGAGCCCAAUAACUUGGGAGGUUCUGCCACUGGCUGGUAUCGAAGCAGGAUUAAGUAUAAUACGGUCACAUACGUAUUUUCAAAACAAAAGUUUUGGUUUUGAAGAACCUAUUUUCAACUAAACAGAUUGGUUGGUUUUGAAAUACAGAUUUGAAAAACUAUAAUGCUAGCGACAUCCUCUGUUAAGCCCUAAACUAAGGACUAUCAGGUGGCUUAUUUAAAAACCAUAACCCACAAUCGGGUGGAUAUUGCAUACAUGUGUAAUGUUAUUUUUAAGGCCAUUCAGUCUUGAAUGGAUCGACGCCCAAGGUAAGGUGAGAUGUGAGAGCAUGACCGAACAAACGUCGGUCUAGGGAAGAGUAUAAAAAGCGCUUGAUUAUAUACAUGUUCCACAUAUGUAUAUAUGAAGGCUGCGAUGUGGAGUACUUACUUUUCUGGAAAUUCAGUACCCCAUGGAUGUGUAUGGGUACACAGAUAUGGGAAUACUGAGAAGUGUAAUGUACUUGCAACGACGCACCUACGCUCAGGUAAGAAGGUGAGUUACCAUAAUGAGCUGCCCUGUGGUUAAAGUGUGGCAACGGCGCCUAUGCGUGGCUCGGCACUUAAUGAUGAGCUGGCCUCCAUAUAGAAAUAUAUGGAGUAUAAACUAUGAUAAACUAUCAUGUGUGAACUGCAUCAUGGGAAAAUUGGGUUGUGAUGAAAAUUUACUAACCUCGAAAAUGUAUGUGUAGCUGACGACUAGCAGAAUAUCGGGAAAGUUUUAAGUAUGCCACCAAGAUAGAACGCUAUCGCCACAGUAUGUUGGGAAAACUUGUGAGGACGAAUAGGACGAGCAUGCAUCCUGAUUGUUGCAUCAUGUUUGUCACCUAUACAUCCAAAAUGCUUCUCUCACCCUUAUUCCAGUAACCAGUGAUUGUAGAUAAUGUGGUGUAAUGUUGUAUCAUGAACCCUAAGGAAAUAGUUGUCCUCCGUUCCUUAGGUAAUCUAUUUAGGUGUUAUAUAUGUGCUUGCUCUUGUAUUUGAUGUGCCGAUAGAAGGUUGGUGACUUGUUUGCCUAAAUCGAAAACUAGGCCAUGGUCUUAUUUAGUGAACCAUGACCCAAAAUUUGAAUUUUCCGUUAUCCCUCCAUGACAGAACUCAUACAAAUAAAUAGUUAGAUAAUUCCUUUGUUGGACAUAAGAGGCAUUCGAACUCCAAAUGAGGAUCUUGGCAAUUAACUUGUCACUCCCUUCGUGGUCGUGUUUCCAUCCUAGAUCUUGCCCUUGCUCAGUUGAUGCAGGUUGAGGUCUCUAUUAUAUUCAGCCUCUCCUUGCGAUUACCUUGUCGCUUUAUCAACCUAACUUAGGAAAGACCUGUCCGAUCAUUUUCUUGAAUUUGAUGCCUUUGGUUUCCUCAUAACUAUCAAAGGCAUACCAACUUAAUCUUAUGAUUGUUUUCCCUCCAUAUCUAAUCAGAUACUAAUCCUUGACCUUGUGAUCUCUGCGAUGGGCAUAGAAAUAUGCUUGGGCUGAAGUAACAGUCUCCCAUCGUAUUCCUUUCAUCAAGUUUAGGCUAUGGCCACGUCUUGUUCAUUUUAUCGAGCCAUUAUCUAUUUGGCUCUCUACUUGUAACCAUUCUUACAAGUGGAAUCUAUUUUGUAUAUUGUCAUCUUGACUCAGUCUAUUGGUGUGGUGCGAGAUUUCUUAUUGGUUACAUCUGGUAAUGGCGUUAUGACUAAAAUUGAUGAUGCCACGACGAAACCGAGGGCCUUCUAUGUGUGCGCACACAUGGUUGUGCUGCUCGGCACGCGCUAGUAUCAUGGUUAGUAGUUGUAAUCCAUUAUGAGACUAUAUCAAUGUGUUAUCUUGGCACAAUCUGUUUUUGCUACGUAAGAUUCUUUAUUGGUGUCAGUUCGGUAAUGGUGUCAUGAUUAAGGACUUAUGGUGCCGCAACAAAACUGAGAGCCCCUUGUAAAUGUACACGCAAGGUUAUGCUGCUUGGCGCAUGCGGGUAUCGAGGUCUCUAGUCAUGAUCCAUUAUGGAACUACCCUAAUAUGUUAUCUUCCGUAGAUCUCCCUUGAAAUAGCUUCGAUGUUGUUUGUCGAAGAGAUCAAGCAACAUCUGUCAUCUCUAUUGGAUCAAAAGGGCAUACCACUUUCAUGUGUCGUCUUUUUUCUUUUGAUCUUGGUAGUGACUACCUAUACAAGUUCCCUUUACGUCCUUUGUGUAAAGGAGUUUGUUCAUUCGCUCUCUUAUUUAAUCCAUGUAUUCCCGAACCAAGUCUCUUCAUCUCGCAUGAAGAAACGGAUGAACAACCUGACCAAAUGGAUUUCUACCCAAGUGCAUGAUCACCUGGUGACAAAAGUGAACUCUUAACCCUUGGUUUGCUGAUGGAUUAUAAGAGGACUUACUCAAUGUCAAAAGUAGUUCAACAAGUUGGUUUUACUAACUUGUAAUUGCUUUGUGAACAAAGGUUGAGUCUAGAGAUCGUUUUGUCGAGUUAUCUAAACUCACCUUGGUUCAACCCACCCUAAAGAAAGCACUUACAAGAAUUGAGAUUAAGUCGGCCAGUAACCCCCUAGUCAUCGCUCUAGUCAUGCCUCGAUCGCCUCACGUGUGCUUUUCCAGCAUGUGUGAUCAAGUUGAGCCAUGAGUAGUGUUGGAUAAAAUGGACUGGUUGCGAAGGCAACAUCUUUAGAUCCUCCGCUGGUGAUUUGUCUCGAAUCUAUAUCACUUUUCAUGGACUUGGAUUUUUUGGCUAGCCACGGGUCAAUUGUGAUGUUAUUCGACAUUCACACCCAUCUCGUGUGCUAUGAAGUUACCGUGACCACUUGUUGGUAAACAUCUUUCUGUGUGUUUUACCCAAGAGGUUGCAUCUGAUUCUGUUUGGGUAAAAUCGCAUAUCUGUCGCUUGCUCAACAGACUCAAAUAAUAUAGUGUCAUCAGAAAAAGCAAACUGCACACAUGGAACCUUAUGUAUCCUUCUAGCAGACAUCGUCUCUAUCAUUGGAUAUCUCUAAAUUAGCCUAAGGCGAUACAUGUUAUGCCUACUAGAGAAACAACAUCCUGAGACACUCGCCUUUGCUUGGAACUGCCUUGUGAUUACCGCUGAUAUGGACAUAGGUUACAUUAUUCUCUACUCUUAGAAGUCUUUCGUUCCGAAUCUCGGGGCAAGAUUUUUUUAAGGGGGGAGGAUUGUAACACCCCAGGUGUUUAUCGUCUGCUCCACCACGAGUGCGGACUUUAACACGUGAUAGCGGUGAAUAGAAUAACAGUCUCUCUGUCUUAAUCUAUUUUGUCUAUCGCGAGUUCGACAUCGUUUUUAUUUAUCCAGGCUCUUCCUAAAUUUUCGUGAUGUUCGGAACAUAGUUGUUCUGAAAAUCGGUGCGUACGGUGAUUGUUUAAAAUUCAUCGCUCGCGCGAAUACGAAUUUGAAAGCCCGGCCCACUCGGAUGAUUUUAUUCCGAACAGAUUAAGAAGAACUCGACGACUAAGUUUUCGGUGUAAAAUAAUUUAGUCCUCUUUUGUCAUCCGUAACAUUGCGUCUACGGAUUUUUAAUUGAAUUGUUCUCUAAUCGAGUGUUCGAAUAGCGAACGGAAUUCGUCUGAAGUCAACUGGAUCAAAUGCAGAUUAAAAUACUGAAGCCGAAAUCCGUUUAAUUCGGUCCGUUGUUUCUUGCCUCGAUCUAAAUCUUCAAAAGUAAAUUAACGGUACGAAUUCAUCAGACUCCGGAGUAUUUAUCACAUCAAGUCCCGUCUAAAAAUUGAAGUCGAUCUCGUUUUGGUCCAAUCCAUUUAUACCUCUGUUAAACCUUAAUCCGAGUGCCCAAUAUAUUCAUAGGAUUUUGUAAACGAGGUAGAGAAAAAGACAUUUCUCGUUAAUCCUCUACAUAUCUAUCUACUUCUAUUUCUUUCCAACGUGAGCUGAUUUUCUUGAUUUUUGAAAAUAUCUCACCGUCUCUGUGUACUUCUGAAAUAUCCACCGCCGAACUGACCUCCUUAUCCCGUCGCUAUCUCUUGUCCCAUUCAGAUUUUUCAUAGCCGCGCUCUGGACUUCUCUUCUUCCACACGCGCCCUCAUCCUCUCCCUCCCUAGAAAAUAUCCUCAUGCCACGCCGCUUUGGAUCCAGGAUAAAAAUCCCACCGCCCAGCCUCUGUCUUCUCCUCCACCGCACCCUGAUCCUUAUCUACGCGCGCAGCUAUCCUCUACUGAAGCUCCAUCGUGUCGCAUCUCCAGCUCCCUGCGCAUGGCCGCCGAACUCAGCCCUGCCCUCAACACCGGCCAUCACCUGCUCCCUCCAAUGGUGCGUGCGCCCUCCCUGCUCCAUCUCCCUCGGCGCCGCGCUCCUCUGCUCCAGCCAGCCGAGCAGCUCGGCCGAGCUCCUUCCCUGCUCGCCUGGUCGCGCCCUGCUUCCAUGGCCACUGCGCACUUGCCCCUGCUCGCUUCUUCUCGCGCGCGCAGGCAUCUUGCUCGCUCAGCUUCCUUCCUCUCUCUUCCCAUGACCGAGCUCUCUCUCUCGUGGUGCCCUGGCCUCACCGGGAUCCUGGCCGCGCGCCCUUCCUGCUGCCACGCCCGGCCUACUCCCCUGCGCGCGCCUGCUUCCUGGCCGCGGUUUCUCCCUCCCCCGAGCUCGUUACCAUGGCCGGCGUACGACUUCGCGUUCGCCGAAGCUCCCUGGCCCGACUCUGCCCAGUUCGCGCCCUGCUCGCCUCUGUGUCACGCGCCGUAGCUUCCCCCUCCCAUCUCCCUCUCAUCUCCUCUAUUCCGUGUGCGCGCGUCUCUAGCUCAACUUGGAGCUCGUUUGGCCGCGGUCUCAUCCUGGCUCUCUGGUGCGCUGGUCCAGCGUCCUGCUUCCUGCGCGCGUGUUCUCUCUACGCCUUGCUGAAGUUCCGCGCAGCUCCCUUCUGUGCUCGCCCUGGUCCCGACGCGCGCUCACCUCUGUUCCUGUCGGGUCCGACCAUGGAGCUCGCAGCGACGCCCGCUGUUCUGCCUACUUGUGCUCGCCCCAGCACUCGUGCUUGCCCUCGGCUCGCAUUGGCGCUUGCGUGCCUGCUCGUCGUCACCGCUGCGCGCUCGCUCUUUGUCCAUCGGGUUUCGCGCGUGCUCGCAUUUGCCGUCGAGUCAUUGAACCCGUCAUCCCCUGCUUGACUCCCAAGCAAACCCCUUGAUCCGCGUCCUGCUCGUCGUCGACUCUCGGCACCACAAGCUCAUUUUCCCUUGUGCACAUCUCCACAGACCCUGUCUCAUCACCGUGUGUGUUAUCGAACUCGUCGUCGACUUUAUCUCCCGGAGACUGAUCCUAGAGUUGGAUGAAAAGGUGAGGCAAGUUCGUCCAGCAUCUGCCAGGGGCUCGACCAAAUGUCUAAAUUGGACAACCGUCAUCGCCCUCGCGGUUAUCGAAUCAAUUCGGUUUUGGUAAGCCAAUUUAUUAUUUCGGUUAAUCGAAUUAGAUUAACUAGGCUUAUUAGUCGUAUUAAUUCUCGUGUUUAGCAGGCGCAUCGUGUUUGUGUUAGAUGUUUGCUAAAAUACCUCAGCGCCUCCGGUAACUUAAUCAUGUGAAAUAAAUGCGUAAUAUGUUAGACCUUAGGUCUAAAAUGCAGGAUUUACGAAGAAGGUCUUAAAGAACGUAUAAGUUAAGUAUGCAUAAAUUGGUUCGUUAUUUGCGGCAAAUGGUCAAAUUAGUAAUGUAAAGGGUAGUGUAAGUGUUUCUAUCGUCUAGCCGGUAAUAUAGUAUAUAUAUAUAUAUAUAUAUAUAUAUAUAUAUAUAUAUAUAUAUAUAUAUAUAUAUAUAUAUAUAUAUAUAUAUAUAUAUAUAUAUAUAUAUAUAUAUAUAUAUACACGGCGGCACUAAAAUGCACCCAUGUGUAUUUUAGUUUGUGGAUGCACAGACCCCAAGAUUCCCUAUACGACCAGAGCACCUAACAUCCCGAGCACGCCCUCGGCCCUCCUGUACGCGCGCCUCCCUGCCCCCUUUAUUUUUUGGUCUGAUUGUAAAAAACCUGUUAAACAAAAAUGAUUCCAACUACUGGUGUGGUGUGAUUGCAACCUUGCAUUAAGUGUGAUUGCAACUGCUGAAUAAUUCUAUCCAAAUAUCUGUUAAAAAAUGUAAACAAAAUGAUUGCAACUGCUGGUGUGUUGUAAUUGCAACUGCUGGUGUGGUGUGGAUGCAACUGCUGAGUUGCUCUGAUGUAAUUGCAAGUACUGAAUAACUCUGGGAAAUUUUGUUAAAAAAUAUGAUUGCAACUUCUGGUUUGGUGUAAUUGCAACUACUGGUCUGGUGUGAUUGCAACUUCUAUAUAACUAUGUCCAAAAAUCUGUUAAACAAACAAUGAUUGCAACUGUUGUCUGGUGUAAUUGCAACUGCUGGUCUGGUGUGAUUGCAACUUCUAUAUAACUAUGUCCAAAAAUUUGUUAAACAAAACAAUGAUCGCAACUGCUGGUCUUGGUGCAGACUAAAGUUGUCAGGGCCUGCAAAUCACGAUUUGACGAGCAACUCAGCAGGGUGUACACCAGGGCUGUGAACAAUGAAUACAAGAGGGAAUAUAUUAACACACAGUACAAAUAGGAACAAAAAAUAGUUGUAAUACACACUAAUGUUGCAACACACAUUAGUGUGUGUGGUUAAAUUCCAGAUAAUGAAAAAAGUCAAAAGUGGACAGAAUUGCCACAUGCGCCAUAAGCCAGUUGCAACAAGACUGCUAAAAUAGUUACUACUGGGACAGUUGCAACAGUGAAUUUAAACCAAUAACUAGUUGUAUAUGAGCACAGUUGCAAAAGACAGGAAUGAUGUCUGUGGGUUGAAAGUUAAAAUUAUACAGUUGCAACUUAUGUGAUGGACCAGUUGCAAAAAAAGGUACACUGCAGUUGCAAAAAGUGGAAACAUCUGAGUUGAUAAUCUAGAACACAAACUGCUUAUUCAAAUGAAAUGUAUCCGCAUAAAAUACAACAAUUACUAAUUGCAAUCAACGGAUAAUACUAGUUGCAACACUUGGGAAAAAAUGGGGAUUACCAGUCUAUUAUCGAAGAUAACGAAACAAAUCCAACAAAAUCAAUGUACUUAAAUCGGGUCCUCCAAAUUGCAAUAACAAAGCGUCGGUUCGGCCUGGGUGGGACGGUUGGCUCGGACCAGGUGCUCUUGGCGUGUAGGUUGGGCCUGGGUGCAUUCUCUAUAUUGAAUGCACCCAUGUGUAAUAUAUAAAUAUAGUAUAUAUAUAUAUAAUGAUUUUCUGUAUGAUUGAUUUGCGUUGAUAUCGUGUUUAGCUGAUAUGAGGUGUAUAAUAGUUUAGAGUAAUAAUUCUACGUCAUUUAAAAUGCUAUUGUCGGUUAUUUUAAGUUAUAGGUAUAUAGGGUUUACUUGUGAAAUUUGUAAUGCCAUGCGAUUAAAUAUUUAAUCCUCUUUGGUGUAGCAAUAUUUAGUAUUGUACUAUUCUUGUUUAUAUACAUUCAUGUGCAUUAUGCAAAUCAUUUAGGUAUGUUAAUUAAUCACGUGAUGCGGAGGAAAAGAGCCAAGUUGACCUCAAGAUGGUGCAAGGAGUGGUCUUCUUCGCACAACGAUGACGUCAGUCGAACCAACCUGAAGAAGGUUAAAUCAAGCAAGUGCUCGGCCGAGGGAUACUCGUCAAGCAGACGUCGUCUAACAAACAUUAAUGUAGUGUUUAUUCUAGGCAAGCCCUGGUGCACUUGCCACCUCCUUGUGUUUUAAAAUCUUUAUCACCUUGUUUGAUGCAUUAGGUGAUAGGAGUUGUGUGCUAAACCGUUGAUGCAUUUCCUUCCUUGGAAAAUUGAAUACCCUUCCUUGAUACCCUUUUAUAAAAAGGAUUUUUGAUGCUUAGCCUUGCUCUAGAAAAACAAAAUGCUUUGUUUUAAAACAAAAAUGAUGCUUCACAGUGGAUGGGAAUUUUUACAAAAGAAAAUACUUAUGAUGGUGAAUCCGUCAAAGGCCUUGAUGGGUUCAACAUCAGAAAAGAUGUACCCUUGCCAAGUACCAAACUUUGGGUUGAAAAAUAAUAAAGCUGAGACCGGACGAGUGACUUGCACGAGAGGAGAGUCUCGGUAUAGUGUCUCCGUCUGAGUCGAUUAAGGACCGUGUCGAUGUAGGCUUGAUGAUUGAGGACCUUUUAACUGGCCACAUGCCUCGUCAUGGGUAAGCUUUGCCUCGGGCAGACUAAUAACAGGAAGGCCGACAGGCAAUGGGAGUGGAGAGAUGACGAGAGUAGCGUGUACCCUCCGUGGCAAGAGGCUGGACGGUGGUGUAUCUGUGAUCUCGGUUGGCGUGAACCUGGUCUGGUCUUAAGAACCCCGGUGGCGAGUUGACAUAUGCAAGGGUUAAGUGCUACAUAUGUCGUGUGAUCGGAGAUCCCUAGCUGGGUAUUAAUAGAUUCAGAUCGCCGUUACUUCUCGGACAUGAAGACUUGAUCACUGACUUACACGUAGCAAUCUAGUGAACUGAUGGGAUGAUAAAAAGACGGCUGGUAUAGGCCAAGUGCUUGAACUAGGGUAGAAAGAACUCUAGAUGCAGGCAGGGGCGGGCCCAACUAGAUUCAAUUGUAUUCAUCUGAAUACCCAUUAUUUUUGACAAAAAAAUCAAUAGAUACUAAUAUACAUGUAUAUGGUAUAUGUACACAGGAAAUAGAAAAAGAAUCAGGAGUUGUGCUCAUUUGGGCUAAAAACGUUCCUUUUCUAGCCUCCACCCAAGCCAGCCCACUAGGUUUGGCGUCAUGGCCCAUUCUGAAAACCCCACGCUAGCAGGCAGCACCAGGCCACCAGCCGUCCAGUCGCCGCCGCCUGCCUACCAUACGGCAGCACUGCUGACUGCUCCUGCAGGCUGCACUGCUGCAGCGCGACGCCGCGACGGCCGACGGCGCGACACAGGCACAGGCAGUCAGGCACACAACGACAGCGGCAGUGCGGCACGGCGCCUCAGUGGCUCAGUCCGCGGUCAGCACAGCAGGUCAGCCGUCGCCCGUCAACUCUCAACUUCAGUUUUGAAAUAGUUGUAUGCAAAUAUGCAGUUUGCGUUUAAUUAGCUGUAUGCAAAUAUGCAGUUUGUGUUUAAUUAGCUUCGCAUUGCAGGAUUAAAUCAUGAAGAGGAAGAACAGUGGUACUACUGAUUUGAGGGUUUUUUUAGCUAGAGCUGCAGCAAAGAAACAAUCUGAACAAACGAGUGUUGCUCCAUCUUGCAAUGAAAGGCAUAAGCAACUGGUGAUAUUCCAAGAACAGAGUAAUGGUGGAACAAGCACAACACCGUCUGAACAAGUGAGAGUUGAAGUUGAGCUCCCAACAAUAGAACAUGGUGAAGAUAGUAGUGACUCUGAGUCUGCCCAUCUAAACCAGUUUGAUUCUAGCGAUGAAGGAGAUCGUGAUGGUAUUUAUGGCAUUGAGCAUGAUCCUAGUUUGAGGCUCCCUAUCUCAAGUUAUGAUGUGAAUGACCAAGAUACAGUUAGAAGAGCAUAUAUUGCAUUGGGACCAUGUCGACCAAAGAUGAACAAGGAUGUUUUCCCUCAACAUGAAUGUGGAGGUAUGCGUCGCUUUCAACCAAAGUGGUUUUCUGAGUUCAAUUGGCUUGAAUAUAGUGUGGAUAAAGAUGCUGCAUAUUGCUUUGUUUGUUAUUUAUUCAAAGAUAACAAUAAAUUUCCUGGUGGAGAUAGUUUUGUCAAUGGUGGGUUUAGAAACUGGAAUAUGAAAGUUAGAUUUUUAAGGCAUGCUGGUGGUUUAAAUAGUGCUCAUUGUGAAGCUGAGGCGAAAUAUAAUUUGUUCAUGAAACCUAAGUCAUCUAUUUGUGAGUCUAUUGCAUCAAACAGUGAUGAGUACAAGGCUCAAUACCUAGCUCGUUUGACAUGGUCACUUCAGUGCAUAAGAUAUUUGUUGCGUCAGGGAUUGGCAUUUCGUGGUCACGCAGAGGGAAAGGAUUCAAAUAACAAAGGGAAUUUUUGAGAACUUUUGCAAUGGCUUGCAGGGAACUUUGAAGAAGUUAAUAAGGUGGUUUUAGGAAAUGCUCCUAACAAUUGUCAGUUGAUAGAUCACAAGAUUCAAAAACAACUCAUUUGUUGUUGUGCCAAUGAAACUACCAAAAUAAUAAUGGAUGAACUUGGUGAUGAGUGUUUUGCUAUUCUUGCUGAUGAAUCUAGUGAUGCAUAUCAGCAGGAACAAUUGGCUCUUUGCUUACGGUAUGUCAAUAAAAUAGGAGAGCCAGUUGAGAGAUUUCUUGGUCUUGUAAAAGUUGCAAAUACUACAUCAUUGACACUAAAAGAAGCAAUUCAGUCAUUGCUUCUUGAAUGGCAAUUGCCCUUAUCUAAGAUACAUGGACAAGGGUAUGAUGGAGCUAGUAACAUGAAGGGUCAUGUUAAUGGUUUGAAGAAAUUAAUGAUGGAAGAGUCACCUUCUGCUCAUUAUGUUCACUGCUUUGCCCAUCAACUUCAACUAACCCUUGUAGCCGUUGCAAAGGAGAAUAUUGAUUGUGCUUGGUUCUUUGGGCAACUUGCAUAUUUAUUGAAUGUUCUUGGUAUGUCUUGUAAAAAGAUCUCUAUGCUUCGAGUAGCUCAAUCUGAAUAUAUGAUUGAAGCAUUAAGGUUGGGUGAAAUAGAAACUGGUCAAGGUUUGAAUCAAGAGAUGGGCUUAGCAAGACCAGGUGAUACACGUUGGGGAUCUCACUAUAGAACUGUAAUGCAUGUUAUGGCCUUGUAUCCAUCAAUUAAGAAAGUUCUCUCCAAGAUUGGUAAGGAAUAUAAAGGAGGUGAGUCUUUGGGAGCUCAAACUAUGCUGCAAGUGUUUCAAUCAUUUGAGUUUGUUUUUAUGUUGCACUUGAUGAAUGAAAUAUUUGGGUACACCCAUGACUUAUGCAAUGCUUUGCAAAGGAGGGACCAAGAUAUUGUAAAUGCAAUGGACCUUCUUGAUUUCACUAAGGUAGAAUUGGAUGUUUUAAGAAAAGAUUCUGGUUGGGAAGAAUUUCUUAAGAAUGUCAAUUCCUUUUGUGAGAAGCACAAAGUUAAAAUUGUUGAUAUGGAUGGAAAGUAUAAGCCUAUACAAAGAGACAAGAAGUUCUAUAAAAAUGCUAUCAACUAUCACCGGUUUCAUGCUGAUAUGUUUUUGGGUGUUAUUGAUAGGCAACUUGUUGAGCUUAAUAACAGGUUUGAUGAGGUCAACACUGAGUUACUUAGAUGCAUGGCAUCAUUUAGUCCAGCCAAGAAUUUUUCUGCCUUUGAUGUUGAGAAAUUGGUUAAACUUGCUGGACAUUAUCCUCAUGAUUUUCAAUUUGAAGAGAAGGCACAACUUCCUUUUCAACUUAAUCGCUAUAUUGAAGAUGUGAGGAAUGAUGAAAACUUUAAAAAUUUGAAAGACAUAGCUGAGUUGUCUAUGAUGCUUGUUAAAAUAGAUAAGAUUCUGAGGUAUGACAUUGUCUACAAACUUCUUAAGUUGGUGCUAGUUCUCCCUGUUGCAACUGCCGGUGUUGAGAGGAUUUUUUCUUCAAUGAACUACAUAAAAAACAAGCUAAGAAGCAAGAUGGGUCAAAAUUUCUUGAAUGGAUGUUUGGUUACUUUCAUUGAAAGGGAAUUCUUCUUGGAAGUCAAAGAUGAGGACAUCAUUGCUCAAUUUCAAAGCAUGAAGGAUCGGAAAGUUAGAUUGUGAUUUGUAAGCUUUCUUCUCAUUUUAUCAUAUCAAACAAUUAUUUUAGUCUUUACUCUUUGUAUUAUGGUAUGUUCUAGAAUUUUAAAUUAUGAUGACUAGUUAUUGAAUCAGAGAAUCAGUUAUGCCUAUAUUGUUUAUGCUUAAUUAUAUGUUAUAUAUACAAAUAAUUACCUAUGUAUGCCAGUAGAAAAACUUUAGUCUUUAAAAAUCAUCAUCCUAGAAAAUUUUCGAAUACCCACACUCUAAAUCCUGGGCCUGCCACUGGAUGCAGGUAACUUUACUUGACCUGACAAGUAAAAAUGGAUUUUAAGGAUCCACUCAUAGUAAGCUUUUCUGCAAACAGAGUCCUUGAUCCUUGAUAAGCCUUCCCUUGAAUCCUUUUAAAACCAGCAUACCCUUGAGGGUCUUUUCUUUAGUUGGGUAAGUCUUGCUGAGUAAUAGCGUACUCAGGGUUUUAUUCCCUGUUGUUUUUCAGGUUAUAACUUUGUGCUAGUGUUGAUGGUGUUAAGUGCCGGUGGGCUCGGCCUUCUUAUAAGUCUAAGUAACUCUUCUAUACUUCUUAUUGAGGAUGGUCACUUGAGCUAGCAUAUAUUUCAAACUUAUAAUUAAUUUAUAACAUUUCAAAGUUUAUUUCUUUGAAUCACUAUUGUAAUCACUCCAAUAAACAUAAAGUAAAUUUGAUGUAACUGCUAGAAUUUGGUAAUAAGAUUUCCGCUGCAAAAAUGUUGGUGUGUGAUUUGUGUUUACUUAAUCCUGCGGUCCUGGUUGUAAGUGGUUUAUCCGGGGUCCUUGGGACACUCGGACGGAUCCUGUUAAGUUAUUUGGUGCACAUGCAUAGCCGUCUGAGGUCGUUAAGACAAGGACAGGUGCAUGUGGACCCAAUAACUUGGGAGGUUCUGCCACAAGUCGGGGGUCUCCUCGGAUGAGGCGGACUCCUUUGACUCUUCCAAGGAGUGGAGCGGCAGCGAUGGUGACGACGAGGGCGACGACAGUGGCAAGGGUGACGGCGGCGACAACAGCAGUGACAGUGGUAGGAAGGGCGACGACGGCAGCGACGGUGGCGAGGGUGACAGUGGUGGCCGUGGUGACGGUGAGGGUGACCGUGGUGGCAGUGGCGACGGUGGCGAUGGUACCAGCGGUGGCGGUGAGAGCGACGGUGGUGGCUGCAUCGAUGGCGGCAAGGGCGGCAGUGGCGGCAAGGCCAGUGGCAUAGUGCCACUGGUUUAAAUAUUAGUAUAGAUAGUUAGCAGUAGUAGUAGUAGUUAGUAGUGUAGUGUAAGUAGUAAGGUAGUGUAAUGUAAUGUAGUAAUCAGGGUGAAAGAAGUCGACUCAUAAUGAGUCGGCUUCGAAUUUGUGCUACCCCCUCCAGUAUGAAUCAAGAAUUUGGUUGCUUCAAAUGACCACUGCUUUGCUAAUUUCCAUUUGCGCGUUUGAAAGUUUGUCCAUAUGCUUGACAUUGCUAGCACUUUAGAGGUAACUGCCGAGUGAUGCCUGAAGCCUUUGCUUUUUUGAGUAGUGAUCUGGCACUUUAGAGAUAAUGCCCGACCCGAGAAACCCCAUUUAUACUCGCGCCGAUGUGCCUUUUUGAUUUUCGAGCCCUAACUUCACUUUUUCCCUAUAGCCACUCCUUCGCUUCCCUGAAAUUCUGAGCCCGCUCACCCCGCCUGAAAGAUUGCGAUGGCUCCCACGCGAAAGAGGCAGAGCACCGCUGCUGCAAUCAUCCCACCCAUUGACCCCAAUAGCGAGCUUCCAUUUGCUGGUAACCACAUGUUUGUUAUCUCCAAAUCUGACCUUCUCCACCUUGUUGAGAUUGAGGUUUUGCUUCCAAAAGAGCUCUGUUCUUGGCGGAUCUGUCACGGUGUCACUGUUCCGACAGAGGACACCCAUGAAUCUGUUGUUUACGUUCCAUUUCUUAUCCGUCGGCUUGCUCUUCCCAUCUCCCUUUUUUCUACGGCCUGCUUGAUUUUUACGAGUUAAAUCUGACACAUUUUAACCCUAACUCAUUUCUGCAAGUUGCCGUUUUCAUACAUCUGUGCGAGGCUUUUCGGGAUUCUCCCUCAUUUCGGACUCUGGAAGUAUCUUUAUCACUAUCGGCCCAGGAUGGCUGGGGGGCAGCAUCAGCUUGUUGGUGGCGCAAGUUUGGAGCUUCACCGAGGGAGGAAAAUGGAGUAUCUCGACAUCCCCAUCAAGGACAACAUUAAGGGAUGGCGUCUUGAGUGGUUCAUCGUGGGAAAUCAUGGCAAAUCUCUCCCCCCUCGGUCAGGGAGGCAACUAGAUGUUCGCACCCCCAGCUGGGUAGAGUCUCCCACCUAUUUAGAGAUAACUGAGGCCAAAGUACUACUUGCUAAAAUUUGCUUAUUGAAGGACAGGGGUCUGAUUGCUGAGGUCGUGGUCGUCGAUUUUGUCUUCAAGAACAUUCAACCAUUGAAGGACAGAGUCUACCCCGCUUAUUUGUAUACCGGCAUUAAUGAUUCCACCCGAGUCACAGACAGACAGAUUCCCCAUGAAGAUUUGCUGAGCCAACUGGAUAUGAUUCUGAGGGGUAGACUCUCGAAUGCUGGUGCUCCUAUAGCUUACUCUGCAUGGAGCCUGCCACCAAAUAGGCCAUUCUCUAAAUUUGUCUCCAACCCUGCUACUCAUGAUGGUAGCUCGGGUCAUAGAGUGCGACCCUCCCCCGAGGAUAUUGAGGCCUUGAUUGCCCCACUUCGAAGUAUUUCUGAGGUUGAGAGGCAAACUCACUUUGAAAUGCCAGCUAGCACCGAUGAUGCUGAGAUGGAUGUCGUACUUAGCUUGCUAGCCGGAGAAUCAUCUAACUCUACCCGCAUCUAGCCAAUGGCCGUCACGACUGUAACACCAUAAAAGCCAUCAAUUAAAAAUAAUGAAUUUAGUUAUUAUGUUAAUUAGGGUAAUAAUUUUUUAAGUGUUUAAUUAUUUAUUUGCAUGAUCGUUUUCUUUAUAUGCGCUUGAUUAAUUAUCGGAUGUUUAUUAUCAAUUAUUUUUUAAAGAAAAAUCCUAGUGAAUAAUAUAAUAAUUAAAUAAUAUAAUAAUUAUUAGUCUAAAAACAAGUAUUUUAUUUAUAAAUAGUUUUGGUGAAAUUUUAUGAAUUUUUGUGCUAUCUAAAAAUGUAUUUCGGAAUUAGAAAAAAAAAUCUCCUAAUCUAAACCCGUCCAACUAAGAGCCCAUCCCAAACCCUAACACCCGCGCGCGCUUGGCUGGCUCCCAGCUGAAGCCGCCACCGCCUGCACUUUCUUCUCCCUCCUCUGUUCUCUCUCUCUCUCAAGCGUCUCCUCUCCUCUCUGCUCUCUCUCCACCGCUCCCGCUCAGCGCGCCUCGCAUCGCCGCUGCCAGGCCAGCUCCACCGCGCCGAGCAUGCCCACCCGCAGCCGACCGCGCGCCCUGCCCUGCGCCUGCUACUGCGCCCAGGCGCGCACACCGCUACCCCGCACAGCAGCCGAGCCGCCGAGCCGCCGAGCACCCUGCACCGCGCACGCCCCAAGCUGGCUCGACGCCCCCGCCCCGACGUGAAGAUCCGGCCAGCCGCGCGACGCCCACGCGCACCCAACCGAGGCCGACCCGAGCCGCCAGCCGACCGCGCGUCUGCCCCGCGCAUCUGUUCGAUUUCUCGCCGUUAAUGGAGCAUCAAAUCCUCCGUUACUCCCUCUCCCAUUUCUCUCCAUUACUCUCGUUAGAAACUGACGCAUGUGAUGGCCAUUGAAGACCACCGGCGACCUCUCCUCUCCCUCCUGCUCCCUAUAAAAGGCAGCAAAGCCUCUCUCCAUUUUCCCCCUACCCAAGCUCGCCCCCAUCUCUCUCACUCUCAUCGCCGUUAGAACCACCGCCGGAGUUCGCCAGAGUUCGUCAUCGCCGGAGCUACGCCAUCCGCCGUGCGUAGUCGAGCCCCUGCUCUUCUCCAUCCGGCCGAAACCCCGUCGAACUCUCUCCAUCACACGUGCGAACCCAAGGUUGAAGACGACUCAAAUUAUUUUGUAUAUUUUAUAAAAUACUUUUUUGAUUCGAUUCAUGAAUUGUAUAUUUAGUUUGUUGUAAUAUGAACACGUGUGAUCCAUAAUUUAUGUGUAUGUGUGUUAUGGAAUUUUUGGUAGAGAUAUGCGAUCGUUAGUACACCGUGAUAUUUCAUGUUAGUCGUGGCGUUGAUUUUUGGAUUAGAAAAAUAUGACAAAAUUUAGUAGUCACACGUUGGUGAUAAAAACAAUAGAUAGAAACUUUGUAGUCAAAUUUGGUCACAAGGAACUUUAGAAACUUUUUGGAGAAUUAUAGUCAUAGGUGCAUUUUAAUGGAUUUAGAAAAUGGUAUAAAACUCAUGUCAUGUGAAUAAUAUAGGAUUUCUAGAUGAUUUAUCUAAUUAUUUUAUUAACAUUUUCUUUUUAUAAAGAAAGGAGAAAAUAUCAUUAGUAGGAUGGAAAAUAGAUUUUUGCUAGUCAAAUAAAAAUGUUCGCAAAUUUAGCACUUAAAUUUUUAGAGUAAGCAAAAUACUAGUUUAUGUCAAAAUAACCUCGCUUGUGUUAUAAAAGUUCAAUUAGUAUUUAUAGGUAUUUUUAGAAUGUUAAAUUCAUUUUUGCUAUACUCAAUAAUUUGAGUUAGAAAUAAAAAGGAUAAAAGCUAUUAAUUUAUUUAUUAGUAUUAAAGACAAUAAUUAUCAUUUAAUUUCAUUGAUGAUGUUAAAAUAUAUUAAUACUAGUUAAAACUGUAUUUAUUGCACCCACUCAUAAAUUCAUCAUUAGGACUCACAAUAAUAACUAUAAUUCAAUUAAUAAGUAUUUACGCGUUUAGGAUGUAUUUAAGGUGUGAUAAGUGCGAUAUGUUAAUGUGCAUGUAAUGGUGUAUGUUUAUGAAAUGGUGCAUGUUUAUUUAUUGGUGUAUGCUUUCUUUUUGUAUGGCGACGUGUAACGUUAUUAGAGGCUGACGGUGUGGUAGACGAACCAAAUUCGUUCGAGGACGAUCCACAGGACGCAUUUGAGCAAGGCAAGUGGAUUCUCCCUCUGCAUAUUCUUUUUGUACCCACUCAUUGCAUAUAAUAAUAUUUACUUUUAAUAUGUUGCAUAAUUUGAUGGGUUUUACAUAAUUAAGGAUUUCCUAGAUUUAUCAAUUGUAUUCCUUGUUUAACCUGUGUUGGGGACCUUCGGCAUCCGAAGGUCCUGAAAAACAGGAUUUAACAGUAUUUCUGGAGUAUAAUGUGUGAACAGGUAUCUUCGGACUCAAGUCGGCACCACAGUAGACCAGAAUAAUACGAAGGUUGGUACAGCGCCGAAGGUGUGAGCAGGAAAGCUUCGGCGUGACAGCAGAAAGUGAAACCGACUUAAAGAUGAAAAGGCUAUUUAGACCUCGACAGAUUACUAUAGAAUUAUUAUCAACUGUAAAGGGCAUGAAUGUAAUUUUGUAUGGGUUGUGUCCCGCGCCUAUAAAUAGGUGAACAGUACUCCCGUACUGUUCACGCUGACUUGGCAUUCGCUUUUUGCGUCACACUUGUACUAUCAUCUCCUUCCAGUUGAAGGUACAUUUGUAAUUCAAAGAUGUUUAUGUCUAUGUCUGAUAGUAAUAUAUAAUUAUUUAUGUUAUCUUUUAUAUUCUCUACAUUUUAUUCUUCGUCACUGUAUAAUAAAUUUAUGAAGGCACGCUCUUCAUCACCUUCGUCCGAAAAUCAUUAUAUCCUAAGGGAAAUAAUGUUUCGAAGGACGAAGGACUUUAGCGAUUAACCUUUUUUAUGUUGCCUUGUUCUUAACUCCUAGCAUUUGAGAACAAGUCCCCAACAUUGGCGCCCACCUCCGGUGAACUCACUUCCACUCUGAGUUUUUUGAGCACCUUCGGCGAUCAUAAACCUUCGUUAUGGCGCCGAAGAAGGCUUCAGCGACUGGGGCUGUAGCUCUGCAACCACUGGACCACAAUCAGGAGACGGUCUCCCUGCGGGAGGCCCGAAGCCAGAAAAGGAAGGCUGUCAGCCCGACACCACCAGAGGACGAGAUAGAUCAAGAAAUCAGAGAUAUGGAGAUGCUUCAUCAACAAGUACAAAGGAAGAAAGAAAAGAUGGCCAGGCUAGCUGAACUGCAGAGGCAGAUAGACGAAGCCUCUGAAGAAGUUCGUCAUCUUGCCCAGGAUGAGCAGCACCGAAGGCCUCAACACCAAGAUCUUCAUCAGGAGGGUUUUCCCAACGAAGAUGACUGGUAUGACAAUUUCCAUCAUGGGAAUUUUGUUUUUGAUGAUGCUUCUCCUCUGUCCGCUGAGCUGCAGGCUACACCUUGGCCUCCGUCCUACAAGCCGCCCCAGCUUCCCGUAUUCGAUGGCCACUCAGACCCGAAGCAGUUUUUGAUGAGCUACGAAGCAACAGUAUCUUCGUAUGGUGGCAAUGCUUCAGUCAUGGCCAAAUCUUUCGUUAUGGCUGUCAGGAGUGUGGCUCAAACCUGGUAUUCCUCCCUUCGACCAGGAAUGAUCACUUCAUGGCAGAAGCUGAAGGAUUUGUUGUUAACUAGCUUCCAAGGAUUUCAGACGAAGCCGGUCACUGCUCAGGCUCUGUUCCAGUGCACCCAAGAUCACGAAGAAUACCUUCAGGCGUAUGUCCGAAGGUUCUUGCGUUUGAGGGCACAGGCACCAACGGUGCCCAAUGAAAUUGUCAUUGAGGCCAUGAUCAAGGGGCUUCGGCCAGGACCGUCAGCUCAGUACUUCGCUCGGAAGCCUCCUCAAACUUUGGAGAAGCUGCUCCAGAAGAUGGACGAGUACAUUCGGGCCGAAAAUGAUUUUCGCCAAAGAAAGGAGGAGGCUUUCAGGUUUUCUGAAAUGACCAGGGGCUUCGGAGGGAGGUUCUACCCGAGGCACGUGAGAUCAAUUCAUAACUCUACACAAAAUGAUGAUAGAGGAAGCCAACAGCAAAGGCCACAAUGUUCCUCACAGGCUUCGGGGCAACAGCAAAGCUCCUUCAGACCACCAGCUCCAAGAGGCAGAGGCGCCAGGGGCUUUGGAGGAAGAUUUGGCGAUCAACCGAGAAGAAUCUUUUGCUUAUUCUGCGGUGAGAACAAAGGCCAUACUACCAGGAUGUGCCAUGUUACUAUUCAAAAGCAAAAGGAAAUAGCUGAAGCAGCAGCACAACAAGCUCAGCCGAAGCAGGUCAUGCAUACAGCUUCGUAUCAUUCGCCCUACAUUCCAGAAUAUGUGGGCAAUCAUCCUGCAGUUUCUGUUGCUUCGGCGAACCAGCCUCAAGCUUCUUGGCAAUAGCCUCCGCCUCCACCUCCGUUGCAACAAGGCCAGCAGCCAGAAGGGAGCCAGUAUGCUCCGCACUAGAGGGACUUCAGAGAGCAGUCCGAAGCUCGUACAGUCAAUAGCACUGUGCCAGAGUCUAAGCACAUCUAUUGACAAAUAUCCUACCUUAAUAGCAAUCUUUUUCAUUCAGUUUUAUUUUCUGUAAUAAAGGACAUUGUUUAGGUUUCAUGUAAUUAGUUUUGUUGAUUCCUACAAGGAAAAUAUAUUUUCUUCACAGGCUUAUAUUGAUUAAAGUUCAAAGACUUGUGAUAACAAAGAGGACCUUCGAACUAUCGAAAAUUCUUCGAAGCAACAAAAAGUCGUUCUAAGGAACGCAGAGUAAGUUUGCCGAAGUCACAAAAAAGUCGUUCCAAAGGGAGCGCAGUGUAAGUUUUCUGCUCCAAAGUCGUUCCAAAGGGAAUGCAGAGCAUACAGCGAAAAGUCAACGCUGAUACCGCCUAAGUAAAAGGCGAAGCGCGAAAAGUCAACGCGAAUACCGCUGAAAGUAAAAGGCGAAGAAGCUCCUAAGGGAGGCUUACAGCGAAAAAUAAACGCUGAUUCCGCUGAAGUAAAAGGCGAAGAAGCUCCUAAGGGAGGCUUAUAAAAGAUUGUGUUUUAUUGCAGGGAUGCGUAUGUAUCUUCGGAAUAAACAUCAUCGCACAUAACAUAACAUCAUCGCAUCAUUUCGCAUAGCAUAAGCAUCAUACAUCAUUUUGCACAUGGCACAAGAGGUGGACACAUUAUCAAUCUACAGAAGAACGCUUUGAAAAAAGGGAGAAAUCAUAGUCACAAAAAGAUACAUUAUUGAUCUUCGGAAGUGUAGCUUCGGAAAAAAUUUUCACGAAGCCUGGAUAUUAUUCAUCAGAACAUUGGAUAUUGUUGUGACAAAGAUAAAUUUUUCUUCACGAAGCAUGAAAAGAAGGGAAGGUGUUUUUUCGUCAAAGACUCAAAAGCGGUACGUGUAAAGUUUCAUGCAUCGUAAAGAAUUAACUAACAAAAAUAGGUAUAUUACAUUUGGGGUUACAAAAUGUUACAAUAUAUUACAUUUCAGAAGUUUUCACAAAAAUACUUAAUCUUCUCUCAAAACGACUUCUGCAGCCUCGUUCAGGAGCCGAUUGACGACUUCGUCCAUAAUAUCUUCAGCCAUCUUUUUGAUUUCGUCGUCUCCUUUUGGCUGAGGGCCCGAAGACGUUUUAGCAGGAUCUGAAGUAAGACAGGAUACGGCUACAUUGCUAUUACAAAUCGCAAACAAAUCUUAAAGCCUAAAGAUUACAACACAAUAAAAACUAUUAAGUUAAUACCUAAAUGACCUUCGGCCUCUGCGCUCUUUUCAGCAGCCUCAGCUACUUCUCUAGCAUCGUGAAUGCCCUUUUCACUUCUUCGAAUAAUUUCUCCGGCCAUUUCUCGGCCACCAUUAUCCCAGAUAUCGGUAAAAAACUUUCCACCAAUUAUACUAGCUUCGGCCGAAGGAUCUCUUGCACCUUCAAAGGACAAAGCAGCUUCGGACUGUGCUAAAAUUUUUACAUGUUCGCAGCCCUUCUUCUCUAAGAUGGUGGCAAUCCCUCUAGCACCAGAGAAGGCACAUAUAUCUCCUCGACUAUUUAAAAUUUCUUCGAAGGCCUCAGCUUCGUGGUCGAUCCAUUCGAUGGGACCUUCGGGAUUGCCUCUCGUAAAGUUUUCUUCGCUUGAGAAAGCGCCAACCCUGGCGAAGCUAGCUUUUAACUUCUUAACACACUCUAUAGAUUUGUUAUAGCAUCUCUUUCUGGACGAACGAAGCUCUUCAACAGUUAUUUCUAGGUGAUCGGCCCAUUGGUCGCUGAGUUCUCGCUUUGUUUCUUCGAGUAUGCGUUCUUCCUUGGCUCUGGCCAGUUGUUUCCGAAGAUCUUCAAUUUUCCGCUUCUGAGCUUCAGCUUGACCUUUGAAAGCAGCUUCGUCCUCCUUUAUUUUAUUUAUCAAUGAGUGCAACAUUUUAUCUUUUUCGAGACCUUCGUUCCUCAGUUCAAUAACUUCGGAACGAAGGUUGCUCAGGGCUAUAGAACACCCUUCGUCUUCAGCAUCUUUCUGUGCCCUGAGGGCAUUGCUAAGUAUCAGGCCCUGCAAAGAGAAAUAUGUCUGCGUCAAUAGGUUUAAACAAACGAAAAAUUUUGGACUCAACAAAAAAUACAAGGAUUUCAUUUGUCGCACCUUUAAGCUAUUGUAAGCUAGGCUGUCGGCCAGAUCGUUCUUCGACAGCACCGAAAGCCCAUCUUCUAAAGUUGGGAAUCCGAAGCUCCUGCUCAUCUCCCGACAGACAGAAAUUUCCUUGUUGUCGGGGAGACAAUACAAGAAGUCUUCUUCUCCACUGCCAUUGAAUAUUAACGCCCCCUUUGGAUAUUUCAGUUUCUGGGCGUAGUGCUGGGCCUCUUGCUCUUCUUUUUCUGAUAAUUUUUUCCCCGAAGCAUGACGAACAAUAUAAUCACGAACUUUGGGGGAUGCUUCGGGGGCAAUGACACCGGUUUCUUCAACAAAAGUUGGCUUUGUUAUUUUUUCUGCCUCACUUUCCAAGGAUUUUAUCUUUGCAGGCUCUGAGGGCCCAGCUUCGGUUUCAGUCUCUUGCCCUGUAGCUUUAGAAUCAGAAAUUUCAGUUGUUGUUUCAGGAAUGACAGCAGCCCUCUUCGGAGGUGUGCUUGAAGAUUUGAUCGUUUCCAGUACAUCUAGCACAUUAGCCAUUCUCUUUCUUUUUGGAGUCACUGCUGGCACUUUUUGAUUUUUUACUGUCUCAAUGUUUGCUGCAGGACUCAAAACUUCUGAUGUUUUGGAUCCCUCAGUUGCUUCUUUUACCUCUUCCAUUUUUUCUGUGAACGGCGCUUCGGCCUUCUCUUUCGUUUCUGAUAAUAAAAUCUUUGAUUGUUCCAAUUCUAUCUUUGUUGGCACUUUAGCCGUUUCUGCGACUUCUGGCAGCAAGGUUGGCUCGGUUGGUUUUUUAGCUUCGGUGGCCGAAGAAGUUUCUCCGGUAAACUCGGGCACCGAAGCUGGUUCAAUAUAGCGCGGCCGAUGUGUAAGGACCUUUAUCUUCUUUCUUUUCGGUUCUGGCUCGCUAGGAGCAGUUGCAGCUUCUUCUCUUGCAGAGGUUGUGUUUUUUCUUUUCUGCCUUCGAAUGGGAUAGCAAUAGUCAGGGUAGACAAACCCGAUUGCAUCAAAUACCCAAUUCAGCCUCUUCUUCUUUCGGCCUCCGAAGGCUGCUGACAUUGCAGUGUCUUCGGCCUUCGAAUAAGCCCCAAGCAGUUCAUCACUUAAAUUUUCAAUACUUUUUAACCAGUCAUCAUCUGGCUCAACGAAUUUAUCUCCAAAUUUAAAAGUGUACUUCAACCUGAUAAGUCCACCUUCGUCGGCCUCUUUUACGGUUUCUUGUGGCAUUUCCCAUUUCUCCGCGAGCGGCCAUACCCUGAAGGCAAUAUGCUCUUGUACUAAGUCUCUCGUUCCAAUGAAAGAGCAGACUGCGCCGAAGGCCCUCUGGCAUUCUUCGGCAGCUUCAUUCAUUUCAACCUUCGGCCUCCGAAGGCCGAAGCUUUGCCAGAUAGGGCGCAUAAUUAUACCUUUGAUAUCUUCUCGUAAUGACAGGUCAUUCUUCACAUAAAACCAUUCCGUCAUCCAGUCGCCGGGCCAUCUCUUCCGAAAGGUUGGCACGGGACAGCUUGACCCGGAGCGAGAAACGAAACUAUAGCAGCCAAAAUUAUUGUGAUACUGUUCCUUGCCCCAAGGUUUUGUUUCUUAUGAUAAUUCGUGUAUAUUGCAGAAGCUUUUGCAUCAGGCUUCAGACCUUGGCUUCUCACGGCCCACAAAGAUAUUCAGCUUAUGAUUGCUUCGGGGUAAGUUGGUGAAGAUAGACUUCGAAGAUUUCAACACCUCACAACGAAGUGUCAAGGAAAUCGCAGUCCAGCUUUCAAAAGCUUCGGUACACUACGACUUCAUUCUCUUCAGGGUGUGGCACGUUUUUCCCUUCGUCGGCCUCACAAUGGAUAAUCCGGAAUACCUUCUCUCAUGUUGACAAGAUGAUUCUCUUUGAUAGUUGAUUUACCAUAAACUGAAUGCUUGGUCGCCAGGACGAUCUUCGGAGUCUUCACCACCACUGUCCACAUCAUAGCUGUCACUGUCACCAGUAUCUUCAGACAAACCUUCCAGAAUCUCCUUGGUGAUUUUUUCUGUAUUGGUCUUUGACAUCGCUAUAAGAAACCCCAAGUUUUUCUCUUUGUCCAGGCUCAGCUUCAUCUCAGCAGCAGUCUUCUUAUCCUCAGACAUCUUCGGAGACACUAAAAACUAUUUUCAAAGCCGAAGCUUCAAAACUAAAGGCUUAACAAAUCUUAGUGCACAAGAGCUAAAAAUUGAGUGAGCGGGAGCAGUUGGCCAGAGAGCGUGUCAAAUGAGUUUGCGGUAUGACCGUAUUUAUACGCCAAGUGCGUUGAAAAUUGAAAGACCCCGCUUGUCAGUGAAUGUUGCUAUUCUAGCAAAGGGAAGGUGUUUUUUCGGACCUUCGGCGUAAAGCCUUCGUCCAUGUCGCAAUCUAAAUUUAUUAUUUUAAACAAAUUAAUAUUGCGAGGGGCUACUGUUGGGGACCUUCGGCAUCCGAAGGUCCUCAAAAACAGGAUUUAACAGUAUUUCUGGAGUAUAAUGUGUGAACAGGUAUCUUCGGACUCAAGUCGGCACCACAGUAGACCAAAAUAAUACGAAGGUUGGUACAGCGCCGAAGGUGUGAGCAGGAAAGCUUCGGCGUGACAGCAGAAAGUGAAACCGACUUAAAGAUGAAAAGGCUAUUUAGACCUCGACAGAUUACUAUAGAAUUAUUAUCAACUGUAAAGGGCAUGAAUGUAAUUUUGUAUGGGUUGUGUCCCGCGCCUAUAAAUAGGUGAACAGUACUCCCGUACUGUUCACGCUGACUUGGCAUUCGCUUUUUGCGUCACACUUGUACUAUCAUCUCCUUCCAGUUGAAGGUACAUUUGUAAUUCAAAGAUGUUUAUGUCUAUGUCUGAUAGUAAUAUAUAAUUAUUUAUGUUAUCUUUUAUAUUCUCUACAUUUUAUUCUUCGUCACUGUAUAAUAAAUUUAUGAAGGCACGCUCUUCAUCACCUUCGUCCGAAAAUCAUUAUAUCCUAAGGGAAAUAAUGUUUCGAAGGACGAAGGACUUUAGCGAUUAACAUUUUUUAUGUUGCCUUGUUCUUAACUCCUAGCAUUUGAGAACAAGUCCCCAACAACCUGGGAAAUAAUUAAGCUUUGCAAGAUUUAUGCUACCGCUCAACUUUAUGAUUGUUAAUGUCACUCAUCAAUUGGUAUUAACGUUCCAAAAAUUUAAAUGGCAAUUAUGGCGUUAACCCGAUGGUUAAGAUAACAUUAUUUCGAAUUAAUUGGAACAUGGAGUGACCACCCAGGAUAACAGUGCAACCACGAGUCUAUCAUGGCUCUGGCUUUGGUAAUUAGCUUUAUAUGCUUAGUGCCUAACAACCUUACCUGAAAUAUGGGCAAGAGGGGGAGCGGUAGGUGCUGGCAGCCCACGUUAACAUGGGGACGUAUUCUUGGCUAAGGUACCUCACCCAGGGGGCCACCACCAUCGUCUUUAGAAACCUUAGCGGGUUGCAUCGUACUAAGUGUAUUUUGUGAAAGCCUCAUAAUGGAUCCCUAGCCAUUCACCUCGGCAGUGUUUAAGGGUCCGAUCAACCUAGGCUAGAUGGGAUACAUGGCUUGUGGGUAAUGUUGUACCACCUCUGCAGAGUGUAAAACUGAUAUAUCAGCCUUGAUUCCCGGUUAAGAGCGACCUGGACUCCUCAUAUGAUAAUUGAACUUGAAGAUAGAAUUAAAUUGAGAUCCGAUGAUCUGCCAAUAAUUUGCUUAAGUGGUUUCACUUAAGUGUUUUUGUUAUAUUCAUAUUCCUUUGUUUAAAUGGGAUAUUUGGGAUUCACAUUUAUUAGUAAGACAGGUGUUGUUAAUAAAAUGUUGACCAACUAAAAUGCUUACUGCUCAACCUUAGCCUCACCUUGUUAUACCUGCAUUAAUUUUUCCCCCACUUGCUGAGCCCCGACCAUAAGUGAGCUCAUCCUUGCUAAUAUUUUGAUCAGAGGGUGAUGCUGGAGACUUUGAUGGAGAUUUUAUCGACGACGAUGAAUUCUAAGUCUAACGAUGCGCCGGUCAUCUUCAUGUGGGAGAUUGCCCCUGUCAUUUAUUUCUGCUUUACUUUGAUGUGAUACUUGUUCAAGAUACAAUGAUGCAGAUGAUGUAAUAAAGUAUUAUACUCUCUCUUUACGCCUUUAUUGUAUUGUCUUUUGAUAUAUUACACUUGUGACGUCAACAUAUGUGUGGAAAUGGAUCCUGGCACACAUAUGGUAAGCGCUCGGUUCUACCCCCCUGGAACCGGGUGUGACAGAAGUGGUAUCAAAGCUAUGCUGACCCUAGGUCGUUAGACUAGUUAGAAAUGGAAAGCCUAGUUAUUCAAAACUUGCUAGUUUCAUUCUUAUAAAUUAUUUUAUCAGCGUUACCUCUUUAAAAUUUCAACUAAGUUGACUCUUCUCUUGUAGAUGGUUUGUACUCUCCAAACUACUCGCAUCAACACCAGCUACGCCCCUCCGCCCCGGCAGAUCCCGGUCUACCCCGUGGUAGUCGAGGAAGUUCCGGUGGAUCUCCCUCCCAUCCGAGUGGAGAAUGUAGUCAAUCUAGAGGAUAGCUCGGAGGAGCAGCUGUCGACGCCUACCCUGUUGGCAGAGUCCCUGGCCUUCGCAGCCAGGUCAUCAACGUCAGCACCGCCAGCACUAGCCUUCCAAGCACCUGCACCCGAAGGCGAUGACCCCGACGACUCCGGAGAUGACGAUGACGAGGAUGACGACGACGAAGAAGGUGGAGACGAACACGUCCAUGAGGAAGCUGACUACGCCCAGAAGGACUACUUCAUGGGGUUUGGUCCUGUUGUCGAACAUUAUACAUCAAUGUUCGAGACAGGGCACUUCCCCAACCUGCUGCAAGAAGUGCUGCACGCGCUAGGCACCUACGUCCGCCCCCUGUACGAAACAAGGCGAGUGAGCGAGCCUCCCCAGGCUUGCUACUACAUCACUCGCAUCCACGUCAGGGUGAUGGAUGCAGGGGACAAGGGAUUCAGGACUCUGUCUGCUCACGAGUCUCUGACACCACUGUCCACCUAAGCUGCCUCGGUCAGCGACGCUGCCCGUCGGACCCUGUGGUCGCUCAGCCACACCUACCGGCAGCAGCUUCAGAACACGAGGUUCAGGCAUCUUCCUCAGUGUCUGCGUGGAGGAAGUCGGACCAGCAUCGUCCCAGGUGAAGCUGGUGAGGAUCGCCUCAACACCCUAGCUGGUGUAGUGGCCGGUCUCAACACCGACCUGGAUAGUGCCACCCUGGAUCUCUUUAGGGUGCAUUUGGAGCUAGAGAAUGCCCAUGCCAGGAUUGCAGCCCUGGAAGCCCAACUGCAAGGACUGGAUCCGCCCGAAGCUCAGGUCCCCGCCAUGGCGUUGUCUCCUCCCCGCAAGAGGUUGCGCUAUGGGGAGCCCGAAUCCGUCACUAGGCUGCUUUAGCUAUUUUGAGAUAUGAUGUAAUAAGUUAUGCUUCGCGUUAGACGUUGAACACUCUUUUAAGUUAUCAUAUUAAUAAAUAACAACCAUGUGAUGGUGAUUGGUUGACAUGUUUGAUUUGGAUCUUUGUUUGAGUGCAAUGGUCUUAUGAAAUGAUGGCCAUAAGAACAUAUAAUUUUUUUAAACAUAAGCUAUUUCCCCUCCUGGAAUCUUUUCUACUCCUCACUUUUCUAAGGACUUCAUCUCCUAACCAAUCAGAUGGUGAACGCUCGUCAAGGACCCAACAACAACCGGAACCAGCGUGGUCAACAUAUACCACCACCACCACCGAAUCCCAAUAUGGAGUAGUUCAUUGCCGCCCAGAUGCAGAUUCUGCAAGGACUCACUUUGGCUAUUCAACAAAUUCAGCAGAACCAGCAGAACCAACAACAUCAGCAACAGCAACAGUAUGCACCCCCGGCCAGAGAUAAACACCGGGAUUUCAUGAGUCAUCACCCGCUGACAUUCUCUCAUGCGGUUGAUCCUCUGGAUGCCGAGACUGGCUCAAAGUCAUUGGAAAGAAGCUUGACAUCACCCAGUGCAACGACCGGGAAAAAAGUCUUGUACGCCUCGGGAAGACUCGAGGGUUCCGCAUCCGACUAGUGGGAUGCCUUCACAGCGGCACAUCCCAAUGCAGAUACAAUAACUUGGCAGGAGUUUCAAGAGAACUUCCACGCUCAUCACAUCCCCUCAGGAAUCAUGAAGUUGAAGAAGGAGUUCCUUUCCCUUACUCAAGGGAAUAUGUCUGUUAGUGAGUAUCGUGAUCGCUUCACUCAGCUUUCACGCUAUGCUCCGGAAGAAGUGGACACAGAUGAGGAGCACCAAGAGCGUUUCUUGGAAGGACUAAUUGGACCUCUGAAUUACCAACUUCAGAGUCAUACAUUUCCCAACUUCUAGACACUAUUGAAUAAGGCAAUUGGCCUUGAAAGCAAAAGAAAGGAAUUAUCUGACCAUAAAAGGAAGUUUCAAGGUCAGUCUAGCCGGAACACCCGCCCGAACAACGCUCAAGGUUAGCAGUUCCGCUCUAGAAAUCAAGGCAGAAGCAAUUAUCAGAUGCAACGCUCUGGACAGCAAGGCCAGAGAAAUAAUCAAAGCCAGAACCAGCAAAGGAGCAACUCCCAGACCAAUCAGAGGUCUGGUGGGAGUUCACAGAAUCGUCAAGGUGGCGCCAGUAACACGCAGGCCAGAAGCAACAACGCACCUGUCCAACCCAAUGGUUGUUUCAAGUGCGGUGAGCUAGGCCACUAUGCUAACAACUGCCCAAGGCGCAACCAGCAGACACCCCAGAAAAGCAAUACUCAGAGGAAUGACCAGAACACCCCUGCUCAUGGAUCUGCACAAAACAAGACUCCGCAGAACCAAAGUAGAGGAAGGGUCAAUCACGUCACCGCAGAAUCAGUGCCUGAGGAUGCCGACAUAGUGUAUGGUAUGUUCCUCGUUAACUCCAUACCUGCAUCAGUUUUAUUUGACUCUGGAGCAUCGCAUUCGUUUAUAACUGAGUCAUUUGUGGAAAAACACAAUAUACCUAAGUAUCCUCUUAAGAAGAUGUUACAUAUUAGUUCACAAGGAGGUGACAUGAAGGCCACACACUCAUGCCCCCAUGUUAAUAUCAAGAUUCAAGGAAUAGAUUUUUCAGUCGACCUAGUGGUCCUAGGAUCCAACGGUAUUGAUGUGAUUCUUGGAUGCGAUUGGUUGAAAAGUUGUGAUGGAGUGAUACAGUGUGCCAAUGGAACAAUUAUGUUGACAAGUCCUCAAGGUGAAAGAAUCCAAGUUAACAUAGACAAGUCAACAGAUGAAAAAGGGAAAACAGUGAUCAAUCACUUAGAAGAAAAGCCCUUGGAAAAUAUCAAAGUAGUGUGCAAAUACCUAGACCUAUUUCCGGAGGAAUUACCAGGUAUGUCACCCGACCGUGAUAUAGAGUUUUCUAUUGAAUUAUUACCUAGAACCGCACCUAUCACGGAAAGACCUUAUAGAAUGGAUGUCAAAGAUUUAGUAGAACUGAAGAAACAAAUAGAAGAAUUACUAGAAAAAGGUUUCAUUCGCCCGAGUUCAUCCCCUUGGGGAGCCCCAGUGCUAUUUGUGAACAAGAAGGAUGGUUCGAGGAGAAUGUGUGUUGAUUAUAGAAGUUUGAAUGAAGUAACCAUCAAGAAUAAAUACCCACUACCUCGGAUUGAAGAUUUAUUCGAUCAAAUGAAGGGAGCUAAGAUAUUCUCAAAGAUAGAUCUGAGAUCGGGAUAUCAUUAGUUAAAGAUUCGAGGAGAAGAUGUACCCAAGACAACCUUCACGAUGAGAUACGGAUUAUAUGAGUUUUUGGUCAUGUCGUUUGGACUGACUAAUGCACCAGCAUAUUUUAUGAACUUGAUGAAUAAAGUAUUCAUGGAAUAUCUGGAUCAGUUUGUGGUCGUAUUCAUUGAUGACAUACUGAUAUACUCUCCGAAUGAAGAAACACAUGAAGAUCAUCUAAGGCUAGUCCUACAAAAGCUUCAUGACAACCAACUGUACGCAAAAUUCUCGAUGUGUGAUUUUUGGUUGAAGGAAGUUGCUUUCUUAGGGCAUAUCGUUACCGAUGGUGGAAUUAAAGUGGACCCAGGAAAGAUAAGUGAGAUACUAGAUUGGAAGCAACCAAAGGAUGCGUCCAAGAUCAGAAGUUUUCUUGGAUUGGCAGGAUACUAUAGAAGAUUUAUUGAAGGUUUUUCCAAGUUAGUGAAACCUCUUACCUCUCUACUCGAGAAAGGUAAAGAGUUCAAGUGGGAUGAAGCUUGUCAGAAUUGUUUUGAAGAACUCAAGAAAAGGUUAACCACUGCACCAAUAUUGGUAAUGCUAGACAUCCACAAGGGAUUUGAUGUGUAUUGCGAUGCAUCACACCGUGGACUUGGAUGUGUGCUAAUGCAAGAAGGAAAAGUGAUAGCUUAUGCCUCAAGGCAGUUGAGGAAACAUGAGAAGAAUUAUCCUACGCACAAUUUGGAACUAGAUGCCGUAGUGCAUGCUUUGAAGAUUUGGAGGCACUAUAUGAUUGGAAACAAGUGCAAAAUCUUCACAGAUCACAAAAGCUUGAAAUACAUAUUCACUCAGAAAGAACUCAACCUCAGACAGAGAAGAUGGCUUGAAUUGAUUAAGGACUAUGAUUUGGAAAUACAAUAUCACCUAGGAAAAGCAAAUGUAGUAGCUGAUGCUUUGAGCCGUAAGGGUCAAGUGAACAACAUCACUACUCAUUUGAUGUCACAAGAAUUGUGCUGGGAAAUGGAACAACUCAACCUUGGUAUGCUCAAUAAUGUAGAAGCAACAGUUAUGGAAGUUGAGUCUACUUUGGAAGAAGAGAUUCGUAAAGGACAAGAGUCCGAUGAGAAAAUUAAGGAAAUUAAAGCUUUGAUUGGUUUGGGUAAAGCCCCAGAUUUCACGAAAGAUGAACAAGGCACAGUAUGGUUUAAGAAGAGAAUCUGUGUACCAGAAAUCGAACACUUGCGCCAACUUAUUUUGAGAGAAGCUCAUGAUUCCGCUUACUCUAUUCACCCUGGAAGUACAAAGAUGUACCAGGAUCUUAAGGAAAAGUAUUGGUGGUAUGGUUUGAAAAGAGAUGUUGCUACUCAUGUUGCAUUAUGUGACGUGUGUCAGCGAGUUAAAGCCAAACACCAAAGACCAGCAGGAUUGCUACAACCUCUCAAGGUACCUGAAUGGAAAUGGGAAGAAAUCAGUAUGGAUUUCAUAGUUGGACUACCCCGUACUCGAGAUGGCUAUGAUUCAAUAUGGGUCAUAGUAGACAGGUUGACCAAAGUGGCACACUUUAUACCUGUGAAGACAACUUACUCGGGAGCCCAGUUAGCAGAGUUAUACAUGUCAAUGAUUGUUUGUCUGCAUGGAGUACCGAAGAAGAUCGUAUCAGAUCGAGGAACCCAAUUUACCUCGCGCUUUUGGAAAAGACUACAUGAGUCCAUGGAUACCAAGCUAAAUUUUAGUUCAGCUUAUCAUCCGCAAACAGAUGGGCAAACAGAAAGAACAAACCAAGUGUUGGAAGAUAUGCUAAGAGCUUGCGCUCUAAAGCAUGGUAGAAGCUGGGAUAAAAGUUUGCCUUAUGCAGAAUUUUCGUAUAACAACAGUUAUCAAGCAAGUCUAAAAAUGGCACCGUAUGAAGCACUUUAUGGGCGAAAGUGUAGAACACCACUUUAUUGGAAUCAGACUGGAGAAAGUCAAGUAUUUGGUCCAGAAAUUCUCCAAGAGGCGGAAAAGCAAGUGCAGAUUAUCAGAGAAAAUUUGAAGACAGCACAGUCAAUACAGAAAAGCUAUGCUGAUAAUAGAAGAAGAGAGUUGAUGUUUGAAGUAGGAGACUUUGUAUACCUUAAAGUUUCACCAAUGAGAGGAAUGAAAAGGUUUAAGGUUAAGGGAAAAUUAUCACCUCGCUAUAUCGACCCAUUCAAGAUUUUGGAAAGAAAAGGUGAAGUAGCCUACCAAUUAGAGCUACCCGAUAGAUUAUCGGAUGUGCAUGAUGUAUUUCACGUAUCACAACUCAAGAAGUGCUUAAGAGUACCAGAAGAACAGUUACCCAUGGAAGAACUGAAUGUUAAUGAGGAUUUGACCUAUUCGGAGUACCCGGUCAGAAUUCUAGAAACAUCUCCCAGAAUUACACGGAGUAAAGCCAUUAACAUGUGCAAAGUUCAGUGGAGUCAUCAUUCAGAAGAUGAGGCCACUUGGGAAAGAGAAGAUGAACUCAGAACAGAAUUUCCCCAGUUAUUCUCGGAAGUUUCUUAAUCUCGAGGACGAGAUUCCUUUUAAGAGGGGUAUGUUUGUAACACCAUAAAAGCCAUCAAUUAAAAAUAAUGAAUUUAGUUAUUAUGUUAAUUAGGGUAAUAAUAUUUUUAAGUGUUUAAUUAUUUAUUUGCAUUUUGAUCGUUUUUUUAUAUGCGCUUGAUUAAUUAUCGGAUGUUUAUUAUCAAUUAUUUUUUAAAGAAAAUCGUAGUGAAUAAUAUAAUAAUUAAAUAAUAUAAUAAUUAUUAGUCUAAAAACAAGUAUUUUAUUUAUAAAUAGUUUUGGUGAAAUUUUAUAAAUUUUGAGCUAUCUAAAAAUGUAUUUCGGAAUUAGAAAAAAAAUUUCCUAAUCUAAACCGGCCCAACUAAGGGCCCAUCCCAAACCCUAACACCCGCGCGCGCUUGGCUGGCUCCCAGCUGAAGCCGCCGCCGCCUGCACUUUCUUCAUCCUCCUCUGUUCUCUCUCUCUCUCUCUCAAGCGUCUCCUCUCCUCUCUGCUCUCUCUCCACCGCUCCCGCCCAGCGCGCCUCGCAUCGCCGCUGCCAGGCCAGCUUCACCACGCCGAGCGCGCCCACCCGCAGCCGACCGCGCGCCCUGCCCUGCGCCUGCUCUUGCGCCCAGGCGCGCACGCCGCGACCCCGCCCAGGCAUGUCCCGCGCAGCAGCCGAGCCGCCGAGCACCCUGCACCACGCGCGCCCCAAGCCGGCUCGACGCCCCUGCGCCCCGACAUGAAGAUCUAGCCAGCCGCGCGACGCCCACGCGCACCCAACCGAGGCCGACCCGAGCCGCCAGCCGACCCUGCGUCUGCCCCACGCGUCCGUUCGAUUUCUCGCCGUUAAUGGAGCAUCAAAUCCUCCAUUACUCCCUCUCCCAUUUCUCUCCAUUACUCUCGUUAGAAACUGACGCAUGUGAUGGCCAUUGAAGACCACCGGCGACCUCUCCUCUCUUUCCUGCUCCCUAUAAAAGGCAGCAGAGCCUCUCUUCAUUUUUCCCCUACCCAAGCUCGCCCCCAUCUCUCUCACUCUCAUCGCCGUUAGAACCACCGCCGCCGUCGUCGGAGUUCGCCAGAGUUUGUCAUCGCCGGAGCUACGCCAUCCGCCGUGCGUAGUCGAGCCCCUGCUCUUCUCCAUCCGGCCGAAACCCCGUCGAACUCUCUCCGUCACACAUGCGAACCCAAGGUUGAAGACGACCCAAAUUAUUUUGUAUAUUUUAUAAAAUACUUUUUUUGAUUCGAUUCAUGAAUUGUAUAUUUAGUUUGUUGUAAUAUGAACACGUGUGAUCCAUAAUUUAUGUGUAUGUGCGUUAUGGAAUUUUUGGUAGAGAUAUGCGAUCGUUAGUACACCGUGAUAUUUCAUGUUAGUCGUGGCGUUGAUUUUUGGAUUAGAAAAAGAUGACAAAAUUUAGUAGUCACACGUUGGUGAUAAAAACAAUAGAUAGAAACUUUGUUGUCAAAUUUGGUCACAAGGAACUUUAGAAACUUUUUGGAGAAUUAUAGUCAUAGGUGUAUUUUAAUGGAUUUAGAAAAUGGUAUAAAACUCAUGUCAUAUGAAUAAUUUGAGUUAGAAAUAAAAAGGAUAAAAGCUAUUAAUUUAUUUAUUAGUAUUAAAGAGGAUAAUUAUCAUUUAAUUUCAUUGAUGAUGUUAAAAUAUAUUAAUACUAGUUAAAACUGUAUUUAUUGCACCCACUCAUAAAUUCAUCAUUAGGACUCACAAUAAUAACUAUAAUUGAAUUAAUAAGUAUUUACGAGUUUAGGACGUAUUUAAGGUGUGAUAAGUGCGAUAUGUUAAUAUGCAUGUAAUGGUGUAUGUUUAUGAAAUGGUGCGUGUUUAUUUAUUGGUGUAUGCUUUCUUUUUGUAUGGCGACGUGUAACGUUAUUAGAGGCUGACAGUGUGGUAGACGAACCAAAUUCGUUCGAGGACGAUCCGUAGGACGCAUUUGAGCAAGGCAAGUGGAUUCUCCCUCUGCAUAUUCUUUUUGUACCCACUCAUUGCAUAUAAUAAUGUUUACUUUUAAUAUACUGCAUAAUUUGAUGGGUUUUACCUAAUUAAGGAUUUUCUAGAUUUAUCAACUGUAUUCCUUGUUUAACCUAGUAAAUAAUUAAGCUUUGCAAGAUUUAUGCUACCACUCAGGAUAACAGUGCAACCACGAGUGCUAUCAUGGCUCUGGCUUUGAUAAUUAGCUUUAUAUGCUUAGUGCCUAGCAACCUUACCUGAAAUAUGGGCAAGAGGGGGAGCGGUAGGUGCUGGUAGCCCACGUUAACAUGGGGACAUAUUCUUGGCUAAGGUACCUCACCCAGGGGGCCACCACCAUCGUCUUUAGAAACCUUAGCGGGUUGCUUCGUACUAAGUGUAUUUUGUGAAAGCCUCAUAAUGGAUCCCUAGCCAUUCACCUCGGAAGUGUUUAAGGGUCCGAUCAACCCAGGCUAGAUGGGAUACAUGGCUUGUGGGUAAAGUUGUACCACCUCUGCAUAGUGUAAAACUGAUAUAUCAGCCGUGCUCCCGUUAAGAGCGACCUGGACUCCUCACAUGAUAAUUGAACUUGAAGAUGGAAUUAAAUUGAGAUUCGAUGAUCUGCCAAUAAUUUGCUUAAGUGGUUUCACUUAAGUGUUUUUGUUAUAUUCAUAUUCCUUUGUUUAAAUGGGAUAUUUGGGAUUCACACUUAUUAGUAAGACAGGUGUUGUUAAUAAAAUGUUGACCAACUAAAAUGCUUACUGCUCAACCUUAGCCUCACCUUGUUAUAACUGCAUUAAUUUUUCCCCCACUUGCUGAGCCCCGACCAUAAGUGAGCUCACCUUUGCUAAUAUUUUGAUCAGAGGGUGAUGUUGGAGACUUUGAUGGAGAUUUUAUCGACGACGAUGCAUUCUAAGUCUAACGAUGCGCCGGUCAUCUUCGUGUGGGAGAUUGCCCCUGUCAUUUAUUUCCGCUUUACCUUGAUGUGGUAGUUGUUCAAGAUACAAUGAUGCAGAUGAUGUAAUAAAGUAUUAUACUCUCUCUUUAUGCUUUAUUGCAUUGUCUUUUGAUAUAUUACACUUGUGACGUCAACAUAUGUGUGGAAAUGGAUCCUGGCACACAUAUGGUAUGCGCUCGGUUCUACCCCCUGGAACCGGGUGUGACAACGAUAAGACAGGAGCUUGGCGAAGACGUGGAGAUCCGGAAACCUGAAGGUGCCCACCCAAAGCAUUCACGCUGAGUGAACCACCCGGCUGCACCUGUUGAAGAGAAGAAGAAAAGAGGCGACCUCAGCGACUGUCAUGCAAGGAUCAGGAUGCUGGUCCUUCUACGCCGAUCCUUGGUGACAGCUUGGUGGAUGCCAUUCCCAAGGUCAACAUUGAAGGUUGUGAUGAUGCGCAAGUUGCAAGCGGUAUGUUUGACGAGGAUGAUGAAGAAGAAGAGAUCCCGCUGAUCCGCAAUAACAGCCGUCACUAUAGAGGCAGCGACGGGGCAGCGAUAUUACCUCACAAGCUCUGUCGGCACCCGUAAGUCUUCAGGGGCUUUCUAUGUCAGAUUUUGAUCAGGCACUGGAAGAGGUUAUUCCUAAAGACAUAUUAUUGGAGCCUCUAGAGGCUGACAUUCCAACCAUCUGUUCAGAGGUUACAGAUGGUGAACUUUCGCUGCUUGAUUUUGCCAGGCAAGAGGUAACCCGGGUGGUGUCCCGCGCAUCGUUGACCUUGGAGAGCAGUCUUCCAUGCAAAGACACUAAUCCGAGUCAUCCAACUCCCAUGGAAGUGGCUGAGGAGCCUUCAGCCUUAGAGGUGGCUGCUGCAGAAGACCCAUCCACCGAGGGUGGCGCUGGUAGCUACCCAGCCCUCAAGGGUGUUGUCGGUAGCAACCUAGCCCCUGAGGGUAGUGCUAGCGGUAAUCUAGCCCCGAGGGUGUUCAGGCAUGCUCUCUCUCUACUGCUUCCAUUGACGUCCACAUCGGGUCACCCCCAAUCCGGUCCGAGGAGGUGACAACGAUAGGUGCUUCUACAGCUUUAACUGGCCAAAUUGCCUUAGAGGUCGGUGAGCCAGACGCCAGGAGCCUGCUGCCUCCUGGUGGGGCUGAGGCCACCCUGAGUCGUGCUCUUGAGAUUGUCCCUGCUGAUCUUCCCUCAUCAAGCCAUGUACUAGCUCUUCCUGCGUUGGGUCUUCCACUAUUCCUUUCUAAUCGUCAGGUGAAUCAACCUUUAGCUCUUUAUUGUUCAUACUGGUGAAUUAUCUUUUUUGCUUAUCUAUCUAUGACCACAAGAUUUUGUUGAUGUUGUAUCCGCCCAAUUGAGAUCUUGUGGCGUUGUUGUUCCCGAUCAAGCUUUAUCUCUGAUGCAAUGGAACCCUCUGCUGCUCUAGAAAUAGAUAGAUGAUUUGAAGGCGUCGAAUGCUGGUUAGUGAGCUCACGGUUUCUCUAGUUGCUUUAAUUGCUUAGCUUGUCUUUAAUCACAUGUUCUCUUCUAGUUGCUUUAUCAUAUAUGGCUCGGCGGUGCUCUGACUUUGAAGAGAAGUACUUUCAGAGUUAGGCCGAUCUAGCCUAGACUUCUGCCUUUUUGGAUAUUGCACAUUCCCUGAAUUCUUCUCUGAAUGCCCAGCUUGAUUCUGAGAGGAUGGCACAUGAAGUAAACUUCCUUGGCUGACCCUGCUCUGUUAUUAUUGCUUUAAUGCUGAAUGUUGUUUUCUGCUUGUAGGAGGAGAAACGAGCACUUGUUGCCUCUCGUGACAAUCUAGACAGGCUGUACCGUGACGCUAGUAACUCCUUGACCAUCCUGGAGAGGAGCCACCGCUUCACCAUGUCUGACCUAGACCAUCACCGCCAUGAGCUGCAGGCAUCUCAGGACGAAGUUCUACGACUUGGACAACUGUUGUCGACCAAAGACUCCACCAUCUGCGUGCCUCCAAGAAACUUGUCGCGCAGGAGCUAGAGGCCGCUCAACUUGCUGUUAAAACUCUAGAGAACAAUUGUGUCAUCUUGAAGGCUCAGCGCGACAAGGCUAUGAAUAAAGCCGUUCACGCUGGACGGAUCCUGAUGAGGAGACCCGGCGUUGUAGUGCCCAAUGAUAUUGUUGCUGAUGUUAGGGCUGCGCCUGACGCUGCGAGCCGUCCAUCCUCUUCUGUUGCCCCUGCGAAAGAAGAUGUAGGCAAGGACACUUCGACGUAGUGACUCAUUGUAAAACACUUAUUUAUCAAGCUAGCAUCUUUUAGAGGAAAGAUGUAAUAUGGAUCCUAAAUGUCCGCAGUAGUUAUGUUAGAACUUGAUUAUUCCGUGUGCAGGGUGCUGGAAAACAACCCUCGCACUCGUAAGCGGAAUAUUUUCUUUUUUCGGAGUGUUCUCAGUUUGUGUUGGUUAUUCUUCUGCUAGGGUUCAGUGGUCACCCUAAAUAAUACGAAAGCAAGUAUACCGCGCUGGUUUAAGGUGCUUCUGACUUAAGCCGGUCGCUUCGUUGGUAGGGCAUAGUGGUCACCCUAAGUCAAGUAAGCAUGAGCAUGUCGCACCGACUUAAGUAAUCGCCGACUUAAGCCAAUUGCUCCGUUAGUAGGGUAUAGUGGUAACCCUAAGUUAAGUAAGCGUGAGGAUGUCGCACCGACUUAAAUCGUCGCUGACUUAAGUUGAUUGCUCCGUUAGUAGGGUAUAGUGGUCACCCUAAGUUAAGUAAGCGUGAGCAUGUCGCACCGACUUAAGUCAUCACCGACUUAAGACGAUUGCUCCGUUAGCAGGGUAUAGUGGUCACCCUAAGUCAAGUAAGCGUGAGUAUGUCGCACCGACUUAAGUUGUCGCCGACUCAAGCCGAUUGCUCCGUUAGCAGGGUAUAGUGGUCACCCUAAGUCAAGUAAAUGUGCCGAUUUCAAGUUAAGCCCAAUCGAAGUCAGUUGCAAGUUGAGAAUCUGAAUGUCUUUGGAAAAUGAAAACUUUAUUGAUGAUGAAGUCUUCAGAUUACAGAGCACAAUAUUUCUUCAAGAGUGUUUUAAGACCUUGCUAAGGGUAGAACUUUCUGAGGUGUUCUAUGUUCCACGAGUUCCCCACUUUUGUGCCAUCCAUCUGAUUAAGCCGGUAUGAUCCCAGCCGUGUGACUUCUGAAACGAUGAACGGUCCUUCCCAUAGUGGUGAUAACUUGUGUCGUCCCUCCCCAGUUAGAAUUCGGCGGAGGACCAAGUCUCCCACUGCAAAGGAUCAAUGUCGCACAACUUUGCCAUGGUAGCGCCUCAAGGUCUGCUGGUACCUGGCCGACUGAAUUAUUGUGUUCAAUCGUUCUUCCUCCAGCACAUUAAUGUCUUCUAGCCUGGUUGCUUCUGCUUCAGCUAUGUUUUCAAAAGUCAACCUUGGUGCCCCCAAAGAUUAGAUCGGCAGACAGCAUUGCCUCCGACCCGUAAACCAUGAAGAAUGGGGUGUUUCCAUGCAGAGCUCGACUGGGUUGAGUUCACAUGCUCCAAACCACGUAUGGUAGUUCUCUGAUCCAUUUUCCUGCAAGCUUUUCGCUCUUAUCGAAUACCUUCUUUCUGAGUGCCUCCAGUAUCAUUCCGUUGGCUCUUUCCACCUGGCCAUUGGCUCUUGGGUGUGCCACUAAUGCGUACUUAAUCUGGAUGCUUCUUUGCUCGUAGAAAUCAAAGAAUUCAAAGCUGGUGAAGUUGGAUCCCAGGUCAGUGAUGAUGCUAUUCGGUAUCCCAAACCUGAAUAUUAUGUCUUGGAUGAACUCUAGUGCUUUGGCUAAGGUUAAAGAGGCGAUUGGCUUGUACUCUAUCCAUUUUUUGAAUUUGUCAAUGGCAACCAGUACAUGAGUAUAGCCUCCCUGAGCCUUCUUGAAGGGUUCGAUCAUGUCCAGCCCCAGCAUGCAAACGGCCAGGUUACAUGAAUGGUCUGCAGCUGCUGCGCGGGCAAGUGAUGUUGCUUUGACAAGAACUGACAUGCUUCACACUUCUGGACUAACUCAGUAGCAUUACUCUUCAUAGUUGGCCAGUAGAAACUAGAUCUGAAAGCCUUCCCAACUAGAGUCCUUGAUGUAGCAUGUACCCCACACUGCCCAGCAUGGAUUUCAUCUAACAAUUGUCUCCUAGUAGCCGAGUGAAUACAUUUCAUGAAGACUCCUCCGGCGCCUCUCCUGUACAGUGAGCCCCCUAUGAUGUUGAGUGGGUUGAUUGUCUUGCGAUGCGCUCUGCUACAGCUUUGUCAUCCGACUCUUCUUCAUUCUUUAUGUACCUAAUGAUAGGCUCUCUCUAGUCAUUGGAAUCUGCCUCUGGUUGGCUCAAGGCGUUGCAUUCCCCCGCUUGAUCCGAAAUGAUGCUCGGUUGUGAUAUUUCUUGGACAAAAAUCUCGGGUGGAGCCUAGGCCCGACUGGAUCCUAGCUUCAACAACACAUCUGUUGUUGCGUUGCGGUCUCUUUCCACGUGAUGGAACUCCAAUCCCUCGAAUUCGUCUUCCAACUUUCGCACGGCUGCGUAAUACUUCCCCAUCGAGUCAGUCGAGCAGUCCCAGUCCUUGUUUAUCUGACUUAUGACCACCAGUGAGUCACCAUAUACCAUCCGUUUCUAGAUGCCGAGUGACACGGCGAUGCUCAGCCCAUGGAUUAGUGCUUCAUACUCUGUCGCAUUAUUCGAUGCUGGAAACAGCAGCUGGAGUGCAUACUUGAGUUGCUCACCUCUAGGAGCAAUGAAGAGAAUCCCUGCACCUGCUCCUUGCAGCUUCAAUGAGCCAUCAAAUUACAUUCUCCACACCUCAGUAGCUUCUAGGCUAUCUGGGACCUGUGCUCAGUCCAUUCUGAUACGAAGUCGACUAGCGCCUGAGUCUUUAUUGCCGUGUGGGGCCGGAACUCUAUGUCAUGAGCUCCCAGCUCGCACACCCACUUGGCUAUCCUUCCAAUAGCUUCUUUGUUGUAGAGAAUGUCUCCUAUCGAAAAUCCUAUGACUACUAUGACUUUGUGGUCGUCAAAGUAGUGAAGGAGCUUGCGAGUGGUUAGGAGUACCGCGUACAACAGCUUCUGGACUUGAGAAUACCUUAUCUUUGAGGGCCCGAGGACUUCACUGGUGAAGUAGACUGGAUGUUGCACCGGGUAUGCAUGUCCUUCCUCCAUCCGCUCGACUACUAACGUGGUGAUUACCAUGUGAGUUGUGCAGGAGAUAUAUAGUAGCAGAUCUUCCACCGACUGAAUCGGCGUAGCUUGGUGCGGCGGCUUGAGUAUUGGUGGUGUGGUCAAGAACUUCUUCAGUGCCACUAGAGCUUCUUGUGCCUCUAUGGUCCACUGAAACUUCUCCACCUUUUUGAGCAAUUUGUAGAAUGGCAUGCCUUUCUCGCCUAGCCCUGAUAUGAACCUGCUUAGGGCUGCCAUGCAUCCGGUAAGCCUUUGCACCUUUUUUGUGAUCGUGGCGCUUCCAUUCUCAUGAUGGUCUUGAUCUUUUCUAGAUUAGCUUCAAUUCCUCGGUGACUGAUAAUGAAUCCGAGCAACUUUCCUGCCGAUACCUUGAAGACACAUUUUCUGGGUUAAGCUUCCACCGGUAGCACCUUAGGCUGUUGAAGACCAGCUGCAAAUCUUCGAUGAAGUUUUCCGAGUUUUCUGUUUUGAUUACCACAUCGUCGACGUAGGCUUCUACCUGCUUGCCCAGUGAUCGGCUAAGCAAGUUUGGAUGGCUCUCUGGUAAGUCGCUCCUGCGUUCUUGAGGCCGAACGACAUGGAGGUUUAGCAGAAGGCUCCAAAUGGGGUGAUGAAAGCAGUAUUCUCCUCAUCUUCUUUUGCUAAGCUGAUCUGAUGGUAUCCAGAAUAGCAGUUUAGGAAGGACAACAUAGAACAGCCAGCAGUCGAGUUAACUACUUGAUCUAUUCUAGGAAGUCCGAAGGGAUCCUUCGGACAAUGUUUGUUGAGAUCAGUAUAAUCGACGCACAUGCGCCAAUCUACUUUAUUCGUUUUGAGUACAAGAACGAGAUUUGCUAGCCACUUGGGGUGCAAUACCUCCCUAAUGAACCAUGCAGCCACUAAGCAGGCUAACUCUGUGCGAAUAGCUUCUCUUUUAUCAGGCGUGAAACGACACAGCUUUUGUCGAAUCUGCCUGGCUUGAGGAUAGACCUUCAAUUUGUGCUUGGCCAGCUCUCUCGGUACUCCCGGCAUAUCCGUAGGUUGCCAUGCGAAUACGUCUCGGUUAUCUUGCAGGAACUGGACGAGCGUGCUUUCCUAUUUGUCGUCGAGGAUGGAACUGAUGAUGGCAGUCUUGCGCUCAUCGGUGAAUCUGAGGUUGAUCCUCUUAGUCUCCUCAAUCGGCUGUAUAGAGGUCACGACUUGUGCUUCGUUAGUGGGUAUUGUGAGAUCCUCCUCCGUCUUGAUGUCUGCCUGCACGGGGGGAGCUAUCGGGGGUUUGGCAGUGAGGGCUGCCUGGAUGGCUCCCCGAAAGCACUCCGCGGUGCCUUGGAAGUUAGCGCGCAUGAUGAUGAUUCCUUGGGGUCCCGACAUCUUCAAUAUCAUGUAUGAGUAGUGUGGAAUGGCCACGAACUUUGCCAGUCCUGGUUCGCCGAUGAUGGCGUUGUACCCGCAGUCAAAGCAUGCCACCUCGAACCUCAGGAACUCGGUUCUGUAGUUUUCCGGAGUCCCAAAGGUGACGGGCAUGUAGACAUGCCUGAGUGGGUACUCUCCUUUGGUCGGCACGAUACCAAAGAAGGGUGUAUCUGACUCGGUGAUGUCUUUGAGUGCAACCCCCAAGGCUAGGAGCAUCCAGGGGAAGGUGACGUUAAUGCUACUUCCCCCGUCCACUAGUACUUUCUUCACCCUGCUCUCUCAGAUCACCAGAUCAACGAGGAGCGGGUACUUGCCGGGGUGGUCGAAGUUGAGCCACUGAUCUGCUCGGCUGAAGGUUAUUGCAUGCUCUGACCACCGAUAAGGAGCUGGGGCACUAGUGGUUGUCGCCAGGACUUGCCGGUCAUUGAGCUUCUACUGCCUCCUGCUCUCCUGCAAUCCGUGUCCUUUGAAGAUGACGUUGACUUCCCUGUCAACGCGUGGGAGUGCUCCACCCCCUCUCCUUCUGGUUGUUGAGGUUGCCUGGGCUCGCCGGGACCUCCUCAUGGUGGGGGAGAUGGUAGAGGCUAGAACAGUAGGCUAUGUCUGAUGGAGUGCUUGAAGUCCCUACAGUUCCGUAGGGUGUGGCGCAUAUUCUUGUGGUAGAGGCACUAGGUGUCGAGGAUGUCAUCCAGUGUCUGUUCGCCUCCGUGGGGCGUACCUCGGGCUCGAGCAACGGGUGGUCCAUUGGCAUGUACCUGCUCACGAGGCCUCUUCUCCCAGCGCCUGUCAGGUUGCUGGUUCGUGUCGCGUCGUGGUGCCGGUUGUGUAGGUUUUGUACCUCCAAUGAGGUCCUGGGCCUGCUCGUCAGUGGUGAUGUAGAGGUCUGCCUCUCGAAAUAGUUGCUCAGAGGUGGUCGACGCUUCCUGCAGUAUGGCUCGGACGAAGGCCGAGUCAUUGGAUCCUCGAUAGAAAUCUUCAAUCACCGCUGCCUCGGUGACUUCGGGGAUGCGGUUUCUCAUGGUCUGAAACCUCUUGAGGUAUGACCGAAGUGUUUCAUCGCCCUGGCACCUGAUGGAUUUGAGGUCCCAUGGCUGCGUCGGCUUAUCAGAGAGAGACUGGAAGUUGGCGAUGAACCAUCGACUGAAGUCGCUCCAAUCGUCGAUGCAGUGUCGUGGCAGAUGUCAUAGCCACUGUAGUGCAUCUUGCCCUAGAACGAUGGGCAAAUAUGCCAUCAUUACAUCUUCUAUUGCCCCAGCGGCCCGAGUGGCGGUCGUGUAGACGACCAACCAACCCCCGGGUCCUGCUUAGGCUCAUACUUGUCGACAUUGGAGACUUUGAAGUUAGGGGCCCACUGGAUGGCCCGAAGAUGCGGAGUAAGCAUGGAGACUCCACAUGUGUCUUCUUGUCGGUGUUCAUGACGUUGGUCCCGGGGAGGGGAGUCAGUGAUGUGUCGUCUCGAACAUCCCUGGAUCGGGCCACUAGUUGAGGCCACAGCCGACUCAACUCGGGUGGUGUGACUUCGAGCCGGGACACCGUGAUCCCGGUCAUACUCCUCCCUGUGCCUUAUCUCAUUUUCAUGUUGUUGGUUGCGUGAAGCGUUGAUAGAGCUCCGCGCAUCUCGUCGACUGUUGAUGGCGUGUCGUAAGUCGCUCGGGGAUGAGCGAUAGGUAGAAGGUGGUUAGCAGCCCGAGUAAGCAGUCGCCGAUAACCUUCAGCGUCUGGAAUUCGCGGGAGGCCAUCAGCUAUCUAGGCCAGCACUCCUCCGACUUCGCUUGGCGUGUUCAUUGCACGGGCGAAGUCAGGGAUCAGGUUUCGAGCAAAGAGGGGAUUCUCUCGGCGCAACCUUGCGCCCUGCUCUGCUUGUUCUCGCUCUCGGUCCUGAGCUUGUCGGCGAUCACACCUUGCGCCCUGCUCCGCUUGUUCAUUGCGCGGGCGAAGUCAGGGAUCAGGCUUUUCUCGGUAUACUUGCUCGUUGAGAGUUUCUCCCACUUCUGAAACUUCAUCCCGGGAUACGAGCUGCGCUGGGUCCUGCUCCUAAGCCUCGUGAUGUCGCCGAACAUUCCGGCAUCUGUUCCUUCGUCGCCGUGCUUCACGCUGGGGAGGUUCUUCCCCUUGCACGGUCGGCUCAUCGUCAGAGAUGGGAGACGAUUCCAAUCUCCCCCUGAUGAAGAGGAUGUCGGGGUAGAAAGGAGCUACCGUGAUGGCGUGUUUCCGUCCUUCUUUGAGGGCGAAGGUGUCAGAAAGAUAACUCGGGGAGACUCUGUCCCUUUUCUCAGGAUGCUUGCCUCUUUCUUUCUCAUAAUCUGCGUCCACUCCUUUGAGGGCGAGGUGGGCAGAGGAGUUCUUCGGGUAGGUAAAUUCCCGAUUUUUGGCUUGUACGAGGUAAUCUUCGCUUGAGGCGCAGGAGGCCGUGCUAUCCAUCGUCUUACUCCGGCUUUCCUAGGGAUCUCCGAGGAAAACUUCUUCUUCGGCGGAUCUGCUAUGCGGUGUAGAGUUCCUUUCUCAUCUGCUAUGGACGAGAUGGUUUCGAAGCAGAACACGAAUCCAGGGCGAAGAGCGAUCUUGCACUAGAAUGUAACGGCCAUUGAGCUAGCUUGGAUCAACGACACACCUCCUACCUGGCGCGCCAGCUGUCGGUGUUUAGAGUCCGACCGCACACAUAGGGUUACCCCUCGCGGUGCUUUUGGAUAGGACGAUGUUGUUGACUGUAACUCAAUGGUUCGUGUGGGACACACGAGAGACGACAGACAAUUUUCUGCAGGUUCGGGCCGCUUGGAGAGGUGUAAUACCCUACUUCCUGGUGUGGAUCUUUAUGUAGUAGGUUACAAGGGAAGUCUACAGGAUGGAGAAAAGCUAAUGAGAUAGGUAGAUGGUCGAUCGAUGGAAAUGAAAGGGUACCCCCUGGCCUUAUAUAUUCGACUGUAGGACACUCCUUGCGUACAUGAGUGGAUGCAUAUCCCCUAGAUAAUAGUGAACUGACCGAAGAGAACUUCCCAUAACCCUGCCGACUUAUCCCUAAUCCAUCCCUAUAUUCGAGGACGCCAUGCGCGGGAAAGUCGGGUGGUUGCUGUGGAUAGCGCAUAAGCUAACGGGUUGCAUGGGCCUGAGUAUGCUUCUUCCUUGUGUUGGCCUACUCCACCGGUAGUUCUGAUCCAACCCACAAAGGAAUGGCCUCACGAGGUAACUGGUCCAAGGCCCCACGCGAGGCUUUCUUGCCUUCUAGUGGACUCAGGGGAUAUCUGUCCCCCACAAUAAAUACCAUAGAGGAUAGAGUUAAGACAGGACCUGCAAGUGGAAAAGAAGAGGGUACGUCCAAGGGCCAGAUAGGAAAAUCGCCACUCUCAAAUUGAGGUGGAAGAGAGGAGAUUUUUUAAAAAAGUAGGAAUAAAGAUGAGUAUCAAGGCAAGAUCAAUGGAUGACAAGGUGAUGGUGAUAGCAAAUAAAAACACAACAAAGGGUGUGUUGGGGGCCUUCGGCUUCCGAAGGUCCUCAAAAACAUGAUUUAACAAUGUUUCUGGAGUAUAAUACAUGGACAGGUACCUUCGGACUUGGAUCAAGACCAAAGUGUGAAGAAGUACAAGGAAUACGAAGGAUGGUGCAGAGCUGAAGCUAUGCGCAGGGGAGCUUCGGCAUGAUAGCAGAAAAGGAAACCGACUUAAAGAUGAAAAGGCUAUUUAGACCUCGAUGGAUUGCUAUAGAGUUAUUAGCAAAUGAAAAGGGCAUGGGUGUAAUUUUACAUGGGCUACGUCCCGUGCCUAUAAAUAGAUGAACAGUGCUCCUGUACUGUUUACGCUGACUUGGCAUUUGCUUUUGCGUCACGCUUGUACUUUCACCUUCUUUCAAACCGAAGGUACAUUUGUAAUUUGAUAUCAUUUCUAUUUUCCAUAAUAAUGAAAUAGAAAUGAGUUGAUAAUAAUACAUUAUUGUUUAUGUUGUCUUUUAUAUCUCAUAUGAUCCCUUCUUCAUUUUUAUGUGUUAUGCUGAUGAAGGUAUGUCCUUCAUAACCUUUGUCCGAACAUCAUUAUAUCCCAAGGGAAAUAAUGCUUCGAAGGACGAAGGGCUUUAACGUUUAUCAUUUUCUGUGUUGCCUUGUUCUUAAUUCAUAGCAUUUGAGAACAAGUCCCCAAUAGGGUGGAAUUAAGAAAAAACUUGUAAGGAGACAAGGAGUGAAAAGAGAUCAAGGGAGACAUAGGUAACUCACAACUCUCAAACUGGGUUGAAAGAAAGGGGAGGCUUUUAAAGGAUAGGUUUAAGGUAAGCAUGUAGGUAGAAGACAUCAAUAUCGCAAGGGUCAAAGGCGAUAAUAGAUAAGGGUAUCAGAGAAAAGAUGAAGGCAUUGAAGAGCCAGUGGUAUGAGUACAACAAAGAAUGGAGUCACGUUUAGGCUUACACGCAGUAAAGAAGAGGAUGUUGCCAAUGGUGAGAUAAGUAAAACACUGCUCUCAAAUUGGGAUAAGAGAUUGGAGAUUUUAGAUAAUAGACAUAAUGUAAUCACCAAGGUAUGGUCGAGAGAUGGGAAAGGUGAAGGCAACACCAAACAGAAGCACAACAAAGGAUGGGGUUGGAAACUCGCAAGCGACGAGGAAGAGGAUACGACCAAGAGAAAAUAGGUAAAAUACAACUCUAAAAUUGAGAUGGAAGAGAGAAGGUUCUAGAGGACAUGUAUAAUAUAAGCUUCAGGGUAUGAUAUAGAUGUGACAAGGGUAAGGAUGAAAAUUGUGAAAAGCAUAACCAAGGAUAAAGUUAAGGCAAGUCUCGCGAAGUGGCGAAGUGGAGAAAACAAUCAACGGUAAGAUAGGUAUGGUUCCAACGGAAGAGUUGAAGUAAAAAUUCAUUGCCGAGUGGAGUUACAAGGAGACAACGAGAUCACUAAGGAUAUGCAAAGUAAAAAUGACUGCUCAUGGAUCAUUAAGAAACAAGGGUAGUUAAGGACAUAUAAACUGAAAUGUUUUAAAUAGACAUUAGGAAAUAAAGGUAAGCAUAUAUAAAAAGUUGAGAUUAUGCAAGAUUUUCAAGGAUAUGAGCAUACCAAGACCAAGAGUAGAAAUUUUCGAAGGAUAGCGACUUAACAACAGAUUAAGAAAGGGUCUCAAAAGACAGGAAGGUCAUGGACAUAUAAACUGAAAUGUUUAAGUUGGUUGCAAAGAUUCAAAGGUAAGUAUUUGAAUGAAGGGAUAAGGGUAUUGAAGAAUCUAAGGAUACGAGCAUGUCAAUAUCAAGGGAAUAAAUAUGGUCAAAUGGUAGCAAUUUAAUGAUGGAAGAGUAAAGAAUCCCAAAAGACAAAAAGGUUAUGGAUAAAGGGCGUCUACAAAGAUGUCGCAAGCACAAGAGUGAGAUGAGAUCUAAUAGAUUGAGGAAAGUAUAGACCGUAUUAGAAUAAAAUACUUUUGGCAAGGUGAUAUAUAGGAGCACAACAUAAAUUAGUCGAGGUGACUAAUAUUUUGAAACAACAUCAAGGAUGAGGUGAAGUAAUAGUCAAUAAGUCUUUAAAUGGCAAAUGCUACUCUAGGCUAGCGGUCCUACAGUCAGCCUGGCUUUGAUACCACUUAUGUCACACCCGGUUUUAGAAGGCAAACUGAAUGCGAACCAUGUACGUGUCAGGACUAGAACUCACGCACACAACGAUUAUAUAAAUGACUCAUCAUAGCACAAUGCUUCAAAUAACAAUAAAGAGUAAGUAAUAAUAUUAUAGACUAGAGUCAUUUACAUAAUAUAAAUCAAAGUGCACAUAAUAGAAACAUAGCCAAUGUAAAUAAACCCACCAUAGACAGUCGACUGGUGGAGGUCGCUAGCCUAAUCCUCAAACUCAUCGAAGUUCUGGAACUCCUGAAGAUCUGCCUCGAUGCCUUCUUCUUCUUUACCUAAGCACAGGUUGCACCAAAGGCAACCUUGUGUUUUGUGAAAGCAAGGGUGAGUACACAUCAACGUACUCAACAAAUGUUCCGUUUGGCUGAGGUGGACUAGCUUUAUGUGGAGUUAGGCUUAAAGCAGUUGCUUUUAGUUCGUCAGGUAUUUAUUAUUAAUAGAAGCCAAGUUUUAGCAAUAACCAGCCAUAAACCAUUUCCUCUUCGAGGAACAUCAUUAUCAUCAUUGAAGCCAAAACCAUCAAUAAAACCACUGUAUCUCAGAUCAUAUGUAUCUCUAAUCAAAAGAGCUCCCAAGGCCGCUCAUAACUGUGAGCACGGUUGAUAUAUCAGUUUCAUUCCUCUGCAGAGGUUGCACAUUUUACCCAUGAGUCGUGAUUCCCUUUCUGCCUGAGGAGCGCUACUCCCCAUUGAUCACUACCUAGGUGAUCUGGCACAGUAUCACUAUGUAGCCUUUACAAAGAACCCCGAAGGUAUAGCUGCCCGUUAGGUUUCCUAAAUGCACCACACUCCUCCCCAAGGGGCAAACCACCCUCGACAGAGUGAGCCGCGUACACCGAGCCCCAUUGACAGUACGACAGCGAAGCGAACAAUACCUCAGUUCCUCUAAUUAAUUGGCUAAAGACGUCCCAUUCCACCCUCAUGGCUGCACUAUUUUCCCGGGUGGUCAUCCAGCGAAUAGUCCUUAUGGAGUGGUACUCGGGAAACAGCCCGAGUCCCCUAAAGUAACACAAACUCAUCAUCAUAGUCAAUAUAUCAUCAGCGUAUCAUAAAUAUUCUCAUCAUGUUCAUUGAUUAAAGUAGAGCGCUAGCAUAAAGCUAACCACAAUAACCUAAAAGGUAAUCAAGGACAAGGUAAAUAGAAAGCUAGUCAAUCCUUAGGUUUUAAUUAUGUAAUACGGGGAAAUGAAUUAUGAGGUGAAUAGGACAUAAGUGGGUCAGAGGACACUUGCCUUCACCAAACAGAUCCAGGGCCGUCUCUUAGUUUUUUAGGUCUUGGUGCAAAACAUAAAAAUAGGUCCAAAGAUCUAUAGUAUAUAGAGAUAAGAACAAUAUAAAAUGUAUCGUUUCAUAUUUGAUCUAUUCUCAUAUUCUUGUCCUCUCAUAUUGUCAAUUUUAAAGUCGAUAUUUUAUAAAUAAUAAACAAUCUUCAUCUUUUUAUACCAUUUAUAUAUUUUCAGAAAAUUCAAAAAUUUGGAGCCUAAAAAAUUGGAGGCCCUGUGCCAGCGCUCCAACUGCGCUGGGCACUCGACGGCGCUGUCCAUACCUGUACACCAGGAGAUAGCAGAAUUGAUGGGUCGGGAUUAUACCUGGCAACCUUCGCUCGGAUUCGCCAGACAUCAGGUCUUCGAGCACAAUGAGAGGCGGUCUCAAUCCUAGAGCAUGUUCCAAAACUUCAACUUUAUAGAUGAGAGAUGCGCCUCCACGGCUAUUACAAUAAAUUCUUGUCGCUAUAAGUCCCAACCGUGCUUUAAAAUAUUGGAGACUUUCUCUCUAUCUUAUUAUUUGUCAUGUCUGGCAAUAUUUAAUUUUGUUCUAAAUGACCUCGAUAAUUCUUAAGGUCUAGUUUGGGUACUAUAGUAUUAAACUCAAUCCACUUGUAUUGAGAUGAAUUGGAGUGUAACUUAAACUAAUUUACACCCCAAUCCACAUCAAAACACGUGGAUUGUGGUCAAUAAUAGAGUACCCAAACAAAGUCUAAACAACAUGUAAAUACUCUUCCUUGCGGGUUUUACUACGAAGCGUUUAGGAGUCUUUCACUUGAAGUAGAGGCUCAAUAUAGGUUUAACUAAUCCUUCCGUUCGUUUCAUCGAUUUGUUAUGUUCUUACUUCAAUCGAAGUUGUUUGCAACAGCGUGGGCAUGCUAGCUCUCAUUGAAACGUGACCACAAAUCAACAUUAACAUUAUGGAAUGGGAUUACAGAUAUACACUAGCAUAAUGAAUAAGUUCCAAGAUUGUGAGGCGUCGGUCUAAUAAUAAUUACAUCGGUUGGUUUUGUGAUGAUCCAAAGAAGAAAGAAAAUACAAACCAGCGGAUUAUAUAUUCGGUGGAGACUUGAGAGUACGUGAGAAAGAGAGAGGUUACGAAGAGUGAUUAUAUCUCUACUACUAAUUAUGUAUGUAGUGUAGGCGUCCACAUGUGGAUUGGUGCACGGUUCUGCCGAUCUGUUCGACGCACGCACCCACAUGGAAACAGGCAGCAGACAUCCUUCCCCGCCGCCCCGGAUGUCGCCCCUCGCGGAUCUCGCGCCAGCCCCCGCCUGCCCUUCCACUCAUCCCCCGCCGCUCCGCCGCGGAUCUCGCCCCCCCGCGGAUCUCGCGCUCGCCACAACAGCUAAUCUCGACCAUGCCCCACAAUCUCAGCCAGCCCUGCUGUACCCCCGCCUGCCUGUGCACCCUCCCACGCGCGAUGGAAGCAGUCCGACAUGCCCCUCCCACCACAACCGCGCAGCACCGUCCUGGGCACGGCGCCCCGCACGGGGCGCUCCUCGGCCCGCAUCUGCUUGCGGAGAUUGGCCUCGACGAAGAGGGGCUCGGCGGAGGCCGCGGAGGGGAGCGGCGAGAAGGAGAUGAGAAGCGCGUGGGAGGAGGAGAAGAAGAUCGACGCGGAGAUGAGGAGCAGGAGAAGCAGCAGGCGAAGACGAGCACCACGAGCUCGCUCCCCUCCAGCAACGAGCGCUCCUCCAGCUCCGCUUGCAACAACCUCACGAAAGGAGGUAGGUGCCGCGCCCAACCCGUUGCUGGUUAAUCAGCUGAAGUUGCUGCUGCCCUGCCCCGCAUGGCACCCGAGGGGCGGAGAGCGACGAGGAGAUACGGCGGGUGCCGGAGAUGGGCGGCGCGUCGGCAUCGGCCUCGUCGGGCGCCGGCGCGGACGAGCUUCCCAAGGGGGAGGACGACAAGCAGGGGCAGGUGGCCGCGCCCAACCCGUUGCUGGUUAAUCAAACUGUUGCUUGCUUUGCACCUACUUUGAUUUAUCAGAAAAAAUUUGAAUGUUUAUUACAUUCCCAUUGGACAUUUGUUACUGUUUGGUUGCGACUUUGCUUAGCAAUUUUCCUCAGGAAUCUUGUGUUUCCUAUGCGUUAUGGUCCUAGACUUAUGACUAUUCUAAUUUAUUUAGGCUGAUUGGAAGAAGUGCAUUUCUCAAAUUUAUUCUAGAAACUGGGUCUGAGUGAGUUCUAUAAUUUGCAUUCACGCCAAUCAAAUUUUAGCAUGGUAUCGGCGAGAUAUUUUGUAUUGUUAGGGCACAAUGAUCUGUUAGGUGUCUUUCUAGGAUUAAUGAUGGUUCUCUUCAUCUCGGGUGAUGGUCUUGGAGUAUUUUGAUCAGUACAGCGAGCUCGCAUUGCUCCUAUCUCAAUUUAUAUGAUUUAGAUGGGUGAAACGACAUUUGGUUUAGUAAUUUGAAUUCAAGCCUUCAUAUCAUUGUUGUGUCUUAUGCUCCCAUUUCAAGUCACAUUGUUGCUUACUUUGCACUUACAUUGAUUUAUUGGGUCAAAGUUGAAUGUUUAUUGCAUUCUCAUUGGACAUUUGAAGGUCUAGCGAUUUUUCUAAGGAAUCUCGAGUUUUACCAUGCUUUAUGGUCCCAGACUUCUUGCUAUUCACAUUUAUUUUAGGCUGAUUGGAACAGGCACAUUUCUCAUUUGAUGGUUCUUUCAAUUCAGCUAAAUUUCUCGUUCCACAUUAGCACAUUGCUUAUUUGAUGAUUCUUUCAGUUCAGUUCACUUUCUUGAUCCGCGUCCACAUUUUCACUAUUUAUUGUUGUACAAUUAGUUCUUACAUUGUAUUUGAUUUGGUGUUGUUACUUUUGGAUGACUUCCCUUAAUGGUGAUUCAGACAUAUCUAGCAUAAUAAUGUCAUAUUUCAGUUAGCUUUAUACGGUGGAUCAGGAGUUCAAAUCUCAGCUCUGAAGUAUUAGUAGAGCCAUCUGCCCUGCAUAGAUUGGAUACCCCCUCCUAGCAGAUUUUUUUCUUGCAUUUUAUGAGUCACCUUUUUUCCCCAUAUAUAUGGAAUCGCCGACAAGUAUGAUCACUGACCAGAAUUGUUGAAACAAGAAAGAAUAUGCCUAUUCACUUUGUCUUGAACGUCCAACCAAACUGAAAUCGUGGAGGCUGAGUGAACUGUGAAGGAUGCUUUAAAGAAUUUCAAGGUUACAAUGCUUACUUAAAGUGCCUUACUAGAUCCAAACUGGAUUUGUUUGACAUGAGAACUUAUUUCAACAUGAUGAUUGCACUUGUACAUUUAGUGUUUCAAUUGGAGCUCUCAAAUCUCUUUUCUUGUGCCAGGUUAUAGAUGUUAGUGGUAAAGAAUUCAAAUUCACCUGGGCAUCUGAACGAGGCGAAUUGUGUGACAUUUAUGAAGAACGUCGGAGUGGAGAGGAUGGAAAUGGGUUGCUUCUGGAGUGUGGCUCUGCUUGGCGCAAGGUGAAUGUGCAACGCAUUUUGGAUGAAUCAACAAAGAACCUUGUGAAAAUGCGCUCAAAGGAGGCUGAACGUCUCUCAAAAUCUCGAAAGUUUGUCUGCUUUCCCUGUUCUAUAAUCCUCUUGGUUUCUAUUGAUUUAUGAUAAUCCUGAUAUGCAGAAUCUCUAUUUUCAUGUUUUAUGAUAUUGUAGUUUUUUCCCAACCGCUUAUAUAUCCUCUUAACUUUUCCGGUUGUAGAUCAAUCGUGCUGGACCCUGCCAAUCCAUCUGUCAAGAGUCAGGCCAGGUCAAUGGCUGCAGCAGCUGUAGAAGGUCUUUUCAUCGCAGAGUUCAUGUCAUUUAGUGCUUUUCAUCGCAGAGUUCAUGUCGCACAAGACCUUGACAAAGCAUAUCUUUCAGUGUUUGUUUGGUUUCGCCUUCAUUACUCUUCUCUUACAUUAGUUGCUACUAUAAUCUUCUCUUACAUCAUCUGCAACUAGCACAUUUGGGUUUGUUAGAGUUGAUUUUGAGAUUUGUGUGUCAUCGUAAUGCAUGGGCAUUGUACGAUGCAAUACUUUUUAUUUGAACAAAUAUGUAUAAUACAACAAAAGAAUCCUAUAUGUAUAAUACAACAAAAGAAUCCUAAUAAAGUUUAACAAAGUCUUUUUUUUGUUUGAACUGAUUCUGUGUAGCAUCAGUAUGUCACCAUGUAUAUAUAAUUAUCUUUUAAUGAUAUGUUUAUUAAUCGAUCUAUUGUCGUACAUUAAUGAUGAUUUUUACUACUUGAUUCUUCCAAUUCAUGGGCUAUAGAUUUAUGUGUUUCAAACAAUCCUCUAUUUUGACAUUCCAUUCACUAAACAUAUUAUAUUCCUUUUUCCCCCAGGAGCGAGCCGCUUUGGCUGCUACCUCAUAUCCUCAUCGUUAUGUUGAGAAGAGAAAACCAAUUCUUGAUCCAUAGGUACCUACACUGACAACUAUAUGUUAGAUGCCAUAUGACGAUUUGUUUGACAAAUAGGUUGUUGUAUAAGUUAUUUAUGUGUGCUAAUUUGGCCUUAUUUAUGGGAAGAAAAGGGAGCCUAUAAAAUUUGAAGAUUAGCUCCUUGGCCACAUCUUGUACCAAAUUGUGCACCACCCAUUCUAGAUGCAACAAUACAAGGAAUGCUUUCUCCGUAUCUACUAGCUACGUGAUGAUAAACAUUUCAUGAAACUGUUGUUGCUUUAUGAGCAAAAAACAACUAUAAAUGCUUUCUAUGGAUCGACUCGCCUCGCUCUAGAAGGUUUGUUUUUUGGCUCUGCUUUGCAUUUUGCACACACAACUCGAUCGUCAUUUCCAUUGUUCCAUCACCUCAUUCGCUUCGAAGAGUGGUGGGAUUGUACUAUGUGACAUUUGUAGUGAGUUGUGGUUGUGAACUUAUGAUUUGUAUUCAACUCAUGUUAUCAGUGGAAUUCUGGUAUGAGUACUACUUGUGAAAAGUAAACUGAAUUCUGGUUGUGAACUACUUGUUUAAGUGAAUGUGUGUUUCUGUUUUUUGUUGUCAGUGCAUUUCUGUUUUCACUGAUGAAACCACCAUUUCUGUUUUCAAUGAAUCUGUUGAACUGAACUGCAAAAAUAGAAAUUGUUCUAUUUUGUUUGAGUGCACAAACAGAACUCAACGGAACUAGAUCUGAAUAUGUUUGAGUGCACAAACAGAAAUUGUUUUGUUCUGGUUUUAGUGAACUCCACAAAUAGAAUUGAAUCUAUUAUGUUUGAGUGUAGAAACAGAUACUGAAAUGCUACAUCUAGCACUUAAUCUGGCAGAAUCAGAAAAUUGGGGAAAUACAAGCUGUUUAAGAGCACAAACAAAAGCUGAAUCUGUUUGAUUGCAGAAACCGAUAAAAACAGAAAUAUAUGCUGAAAAUAAUUCAUAAGUAGGCAGUGGUGGUGCUAUGGUGCAUACCAGGUUCUUAUUCAAAUGAUUUGCUAAAGUCAAAUAUAUGCUUCCGGUCUGAUUGAUUUGUGAAACUGAAAUGGAUAUUUUAUUUCGGCACUAUGAAAUAAACUCACUGUGAUCCUGAAACAUAUCAAUUGUGUUUGUUUUUGUAAAUCUUUUAUACUACUAGGGGAGAAAAAUAGCUUAGUUCAAUCGCAUCUCAUAUGUCUAAUUACCAGGGGAGAAAAUUAGCUUAGUUCAUUUUGUUGCUGCCAUAUGGGUGAAAAAAUAAUGAGACAUCUAAAUCAGUAAAUUGGAAAUAUAGCAUCUUAAACCUGCAGGUAGUUUCUUAAACCUGAUUCUAGCUACAUGUUUUAUAUUGUGACACAAGAACUUUUAAGAACAUAUGUUGAUGCCCACUGUAUUUAGUUACUACUUCAAGACCAACUGUAUUUUAGUUACAAAUGUGUUUUCAAGAUUGUAGAAAUUUGUAGCUGAAAUUAUCCACACCAUAUUUGUGAACUGACAUCAUUUCUAAGAAUAUUACUGAUUAGAAUCUUUCACUUUUAUAAUGCUUUGCAGGAGUGGCCCCUCUGGAGUUGAAUAUGCAGUUAUAACCAAUUUUUACCCCUUUUAUCCUAGAAGAGUUGCCAAGACACGGUAUAAGACCAUGAUAAUAGACUAAGAGAGGAUUUGGCUCUAAUUACUAUAUGUUUUAUUUAUGCAGUCCCAUGAGAACUUUGAGUAUUUACAGAUUGCUUUAUUAAUUUAUUAAAGUUAAAGAUUGUAUGUGUUGAGUAUGUAUCCACUCUUGUUGGAAGUGUCUUGCAAUUCCAAUCCAAGGAUGUAUAAAAGACUUCAUGGGUUAAGUAUGUGUUUUUCAUGUAUUUGGAGUAUAUAUACUUUUUAUUGCUUGAGAACAUGUAUGUGCACUAGAAGCUUGUCAAUUGUGUGAACUUGAGUUGAUCCCUGUCUAACCUGAGUAUAUAUAUAUAUUUUGUUGCUUGAGAACAAGUAUGUACAAUAGAGGCCUGGCAAUUGUGUGAACUUGAGUUGAACAUGAAUUUUGAUAAUCACAACUCACCAUCCCUUUCAAUAUGCUUAGAAUAUAGCUUUUUAUAAUUUUUCACCCUACAAUACAAAAUUGUUCUAUGAAGGCCAUGGUACAUCAUCAUAUCCUAUAUUAUCAACCUAGGAUUUGUCUAUUUCGAUUAAUAAUGGCAUUGAGUCAAAUUUUGGUUGUUUCAAAUGAUAGACUUCGACAUUUGUUAUGAUUUAUGAGUUGAUUCUUGAUAGCAUUACUAAAAAAUGACCUGUGUAUACACAAGUGUUUUCCGUUGCAAUGCACGGGCAUAUACCUAGUAUAUAAUAUAUGCAUGUUAGUCAAUUGGUUCAGAUGCAGGCGAGCUCCUUUGCCAAGCCGAUGGACUUGCCGAUGGCGUUCUUGCAGACGGCCAUGGUCUUGUUGCCGGAUCCAUUGUACUUGAUGUCGACGUUGACGAGCUGCACGCCCUGGCAUGGCAGGUUGUUGGCGCAGUUGAGCGUGAUGGCCUCCGGCGUGUUGGAGGUGCCGUGGAUGUUCUUGAAGACGACGUCGUUGACGGCCACCUUGGAGGCGCCGGACUUGACGCAGAUGUUGUUGGGGCAGUACUUCUGGUCGAUGAUGAUGGGGUAGGAGACAUUGUCCAUGGUGAUGCCCUCGUACAGGAACUUGCUGGCCUUGAGCGACGACUUGGAGUCCUCGUACGACUUGAUGCGCAGGCCGUUCGUGGUGCCGGCGAUCGUGCACCCCGUCACCUGCACGUCUUCCACGUCCUUCUCGUCCUUGUAGCGCCCCAGGCUGCCGACGCUGAUGCCGUGGCCUGGGCCGCACUUGACGCCAUGGAUGCGGAUCAUCUUGCUCCCGGGGCCGAUGGAGAUGCAGUCGUCGCCGACGCCGAUGGUGGUGCUGCUGAUGGUCACGUUGCUGGAGUCGCCGAUGUGGAUGCCGUCCGUGUUGGGGCUGUCGCCGGGGGCCUUGACCGUCACUUUGUCGAUCAGCACGUUCUUGCACUCGAAGAUGUUGAGGUGGAAGAACUUGCUGUUGAGCAGCGUGAUGCCGCGGAUCUGGACGUUCGUCACAAAAUCCAGCACCAAGCUCUGUAUAUCCAUCGCAAUGGCAUUGCAUGCAUGCAAUUUCAAUCAAUUAUCAAUAUUAUCGAGAAGAGGAGACAGAGACAAAGAAAACAAGUGUCUAUACGUACAUUCGGGAGGAUCUUGCAAUUGUAAGAAUGCUGGCACUGGUUCUUGCUCCACACCAGGGCUCCCUGCCCGUCGAUGGUGCCGUGGCCGU
RNAcentral lists this long non-coding RNA (55727 nucleotides) under Zea mays. Its description in RNAcentral is "long non-coding RNA (ZMAY_LNC003219)". The record is from RNAcentral. Lineage: Eukaryota; Viridiplantae; Streptophyta; Magnoliopsida; Poales; Poaceae.